Molecule: long non-coding RNA, 65227 nt
Filed under: Gossypium barbadense (sea-island cotton)
Lineage: Eukaryota; Viridiplantae; Streptophyta; Magnoliopsida; Malvales; Malvaceae
Description: long non-coding RNA (GBAR_LNC022226)
Source: RNAcentral
CUAUAUCAGGAGCGGCAAAGUCAAGGAGUUUGUGCCCAAUUUGGAUGUCACAUUUUUGGCACAAGGGACCCAUUUCGUCCAAGAACAACUUCCUGAGGAGGUGAAUCAUCUCAUUAUCUCCUUCCUUAACAAGCACUGCGAAUAGAGGAAACCGAUGACCUAGUUGCUUCUUCAUCUUCUUCCUUCUUUACCGCUGAAUAAAAGGACCUUGUGCCAUUUAAAUAAAGAAUAAUAUGACCUCAAAAUGGCCAAAUUUGAAUGUAUUGGGAGUUGGAGAAUCUUCAUUCCAGUUCAAUUAAUGUGCUUGUAUUCACUCUUACACCAAGAUUAGCUGACGGUAUCAUUUAACAACCAAAUCCAAAUCAACAGGCUUGAGUGGCAAAUUGGAAGCUUACAAGUAUGCUGCCAGCUCCAUUAAUUAAACGAAGCUAGAGAAAAAGAUACCUGUAAAAAAAGCAGAAUUUGGAGGAAGGUAAGAACUGCCACAAAUUCCAAUUUUGAGCUGAUUAAAGUAUUGGGGGUGGAAACAUAGUGCGUUAGUAUCAGGGUCAUAUACACUACAAAUAAGAGACCAAAUAAUCCGGAACUUAUAGAUGUUUGCUUCAACCAUUUCAUAAUUGCAAAUAAUUCACUGCAAGUGUUAUCCAAAAGCAUGUCUUCCAGGAAAGUAGACAAGCGUUACCUAUAUUGUAUUUUGUGUACAAAUUAGAGCUCAUAUGCAGGGAGUCUGGGGCCCCAAAGGCUCAACCAUGUCUAGAAGAUAUAAACUUGUGAGCCUGAUCAAGCAAAAAGCAAGCAAAUGCUUUUGCCCUAUACAAGACCUUUACAUUGCCUGUUUUUGGUUAGAGUGAAAGGAGAACACAAGCAUUCCCACUAAUGCCAUGGCAAAUUCCUACACGCUUCAGCAACCCGCGGUUCCACACCACCUCUGCUGCUUCAAGAAUUUCAUCAUCUCCAAAGACCUAAAGAACACAGAGAUUCUAAUGAAUUCUAAUUCCGUCACGGUACAAAGAUUGUGGUUUGUUGCUAAUUUUAUUUCUUUUAGUAGCAAAACCUUGAAGAAAGAAUUACUUUGUAUUGAACUUAAAUUGCAAGCAAAUAGUCAGGAUGAACCCAUUAAUGCUUAAUAUUUAAUGAUGGAAGUUAUUCCCAUAGAUCUAGCAAUUCUAGGACUAGGAGUAUGCCUUAGUUCUUUCUCUAGUAGCUAUAAUCUAUCUAUCUAUACCUAGAUAUUAAAACAAUCCUAGAGGAUUGUGACAAGUAUGACGUGUUAGUAAUGCUUGGUUAUUUGUCAAUGCAUUAAGAGUAGUUUCAGUUGACAUUUGUUCUACGUACAAUAUAUUCCUUUUCUAGAGUUAACACAUGGCGACCUUUGUGUUUUGAUAUUUUGUAACGCCCUAAACCCGACCUAGAUGGAUAGAUUAAGUCUAGGGUGUCAAUUGAACUUACCAGAAAACAAAUGCACACAAAGUUGAUUUAACCGAUGCAUGGAUACGUCUUAAAACAACAAUUUUAAACACACACAUAUAUUUAAGUAUAGGACCGUUAGAAGAUGGAGUCCCACAUCCGUCGGCCGCCUAGUUUUGGGAGGUUCCUGAAAUUCAUUCAGUCUAGUUAGUACAUUGAAAUCUAAUGUAAAGUAUAAUUACUCAACGUACAUAAAAUGACUCAGAUAUCACUGAAAUUUCAGAUAGCGCACACUCACUCUAAAUCGAUUAGAUUAGUAAUUCCCAAUAGUUUCGGAUGCAGAGCAGUUCAGAUACUCGGCAGAUUAGAUACAGAAAUAGAUUUAUAUGUAAAUACAGAUACAGAUGCAAUUAUCCUACCCCAUCUGCUACACACCAUCUCCGACCAACUUAACACACCAGUAGGUAUAUAAUACUUGUCCAGCCCUACACACAUCAUAGUGUUGGUACGACAUGUUGCAGUGUUCACAGUCUCAUUGCCAGAUCAGAUAUCAUUACAAGUGAUUUGACCACCAAAUCAGUACAAAACAUUUUCUUCAAUUCGUAAAUUUCACCCCAUACAAAUGUAGAGAACAAUUGACCAAUAUAUAUAUUUACUUAUGCAGAUACAAUCAUACAGUUCUAAUAUAAAAGAGGGUUGAAAUUCUUACGAAUUGUCUUAUCCGGGUAUGUAGUAGCGGUUUAUAAUCAUGAUAAAGUAGAUCAUACAGUUCAAUUUAGUUCAUACAUAUAUUACAGAUGGCUUACACUCGCCUCAUACAACAAUUAUGGCGUUAACUGAAAUUUAGCGGUUCAGGUUCACAUGCCUAUGUGAGUGCUCGUGUGACUCAACACGGUCUGACACAUAACCGUGUGGUUGCCCAUGUGCCCCUAUUCACCAAGUCAGUGAGUUACACGGUCUAGGUACACGUCCGUGUGUUGCCUGUGUACCUCACACAGUUUGACACACACCCGUGUGUCCCUAAUACAUAAAUAAUAAGUCACACUGUCUGACACACACCCAUGUGCCAGCCCGUGUGACCAUUGCACAUUAAUGUUUCACGCAUGGCCUACCACACGCCCGUGUGGCUCAUCCGUGUGUCUCAAGUCCAAAGUUAGUCAGUUACACGGUCCACCACACGGCUUUCUACACGGCCUGGACACACGCCCGUGUGACAGCUCGUAUGCCGUCGACUGUCCCGUUUUCGACAACAAAAAAUGUAGAAGAAAAGGGUUUUGAUACCCUACCUGAAAACCACGAUGACCUUGAAGCAAACUUGGGACUCCUGAAGCCUAGAAACCAAAUCCAACUACUCAAUUAAUGGAAAUUCAAACAGAUACACUAAAUUGCAACAACAAUUAACACCGAAACCUUCAACGCACAAACCCGAAACAAACAAAACUAACUUACUGGAAGUUCAACAGCGCACACUCGAGUUUUAGACAAUGAGAGAAGCGUUAGGCAUCUCUUAACCUUCCCCUAAGCUUCCGUAACCACGAGCAAAUAAAGCAAAACAAAAUUGAUCAACACCCUCACUUCGAGAUUUCAAGAAAUUCGUAAUUCAUACAUAAUAACCGGAAUUACUACGAUUAAAUCUUACCUUUAAGCACUGAAACAACCAACAGUAUGAUACGAUUGAAUAAUUAACCCUGUCGAAACCAUUUUUUUGAAAAUAAAAAAUCUAGUAGUCGACUUGAAAAUGAAACGAAAAUUGGAGUCGCCACUGACCCUUUAUUAAGUUGUGAUCGGCUCACAUUGAAAAUGAUUUUGGUCUGUGAAAUUUGAGAAAACAGGUUCGGGAUUCGGUUACGCAUGAGGAAGGGUUAGCACCCUCGUAACGCCCAAAAAUGGUACCGAAUUGAUUAAUUAAUGUCUUAAUUUCGAAUAUCGAAAAUUCGUGAAGAAUUUUAAAAAUUAUGAUCCUCCAUUUUAUUAAUGUUAAUUUUAUAAAAGAUGCUUGGAUAAAUCGAGAUGAAUGCUAAAUACCUUCUCGUCUCAGAUUAAUAAGAUGUCACGCUCAAUACAUUAGGACACGACAUUUUUAGUCCUCGAGAAUGAGCUUGUCUUUUGAUUUUCAAAACUCUUGCAGUGGAGUUAAAAAGGGAUAUUCAGUUACUUUAAGUCAGAUGAAAAAUUGAAACCUAAUACGUUAGGGCACAAUUUCUCUAAAUUCCUAGCAUUGAAUAUAGCCCUUAUUAUUUAAAUCUUCAUUUCGAGAAAACGACACGUCACAUCCAAUACAUUAGGACAUGACGUAUCGAAUUCCUGAAAGUGAGUUUUUGGUUUAUGCGCUUUGAUUGUAGAAAAUUUUUGAUUAUUUAGAUUCAACGAGGAAAAUUGGAACCCAAUACGUUAGGGCUCCAUUCCCUCGAAGAUUCCAAAUUUCGGGUAUUGCGCUAUUAUAAAAGUUUUUGGAUAAAUUGGUUUUGAUACUUAAAUGAAAUUAAAUGUAAUUCUUUAAAAUACAAAGGAUUGAUUAAUGAUAUACAAUGCGAGAUGAUGAUUCAUGGACUAAAACGUAUACUAACGAACGUCAAACAAUCAAUAAAUAUAAAUAAACAAUACAAUAUAACAAUGGCAAGAAUCUCAUAUUAUAUGUUGGCAGAUAUUAAUAAGAAUUAAAAGGAAUAUUGGGUAAAUUAAUAUAAACAAUUUUUGAAAUAGACUAAAAAGUGAAUAGCAUACAAGGGCGAAAGUUGAAAAUUAUUAAUAAAUCACAUGCAUCAAAUUUUAUCACAAACAAUAUAUAUAUACGAAUUUGAAAUAGAUUUAAAGGAAGAUAAGAAAAACACUACGUGAAAUUAUAAUAUUAAAAUGAAUUUUAAAGUAAAUAAAAAUAUAUGUGUAACAUACCAAAUAACAUACAUACAUUAAUCUAAAUAAGCAACAUGUAUAUGAAAAGAAAAGUUUAAUAAUAACACAAAUAAUACUAGGGUUAAUAAAUAAUAAUAUUAUUAUUAUCAAAUUAAUUGCUACAUAAAAAAACGAAAGGGAUUAGACUAACUUAAAAACAAAAUUAAAAGAACCAAUUGAAAAUAAAACAAAGUAAAUGGGCCGAAUGCAAUGCGUGGAUAACUUGGGGGACCAUAUGGGAAAUAAUCCCCGUCCCUCAAGAACACAGCAUAUAAUCUGGGCCAAGAUGAAACAAAAGCAAAAUGAAAUGCAAAAUUUAUAAAUAAAUAAAAACUGAUAUGAAAACACUACGAAGUAAGGGGGACCGAAUGCACCAAUAACCCUACCAAGGCUUCAACGCGCGGAUCUUAGCCGCUUCUGGGUCGGGUCAUCGGGUUAAUCAGGUUAAACGGUGCCGUUUUGAGGGUUGUUAACCCUAGCCCAAAACGACACCGUGCGACUAUAUUAUUUAAACCUAAAAUUUUUUUUUAGCUUAGUUUGCUUAACAAAGAAAAAAAAUAAAAAAGAGGGUUGUCCCCUCCUCUCGUCUGCACUAGGGUUUCAACCCUAGUCUCACAUCACCGAAAGCUUCCCCGAUUUCCAGCCUCACAGCCCUCGCUCGAACUCUGAUUGAGGUGAAGUGAACAAGGUUUUGGUCGACGCUAACACAGAGGUAAGUCUUCCUUCCCCUAUCUUUAUUUUACAAGUAUCAAGAGUAAUAAGCGAAUCGGAGAAAGCAUAAAAGAGAGAAAAAAAGAAAAAAGAAGUCACCUUCAGCAAAAUUUUCUUUUUUGAUUGCUCUUGUUAUUUUUUUUUUUGUGUUUGUCUGCAUAACCGUUUACAAAGGUUUCGUCUUUUGUUUUAUAGGCCGAAAAAAGUAAACAAAAAAUGAAAAAUACGAAAAAUGCAACUUUAUCUUUUUUCUUCUGCGUUGUUUGCAUCCCAUUUGCAGGUGUACGGGGGCAGAAGUCGACGUGGAGGUACGGAGGCUAAGGCGCAUGCGUGAGGGCAGAGGCUUGGCACGCGCGGGGGGAGUUAGGGCUGUUGCGGUGCUGGGGCUUGCUCGCUGCUAGGGUUUCGGCCUUGAUUUGGGCUAGGUAUUGGGCUGGUGGUUGGUUUGUAACGUUUGGGCUUAGUGGGUCUAAUGUGUUCGGGUUUAGGGUGUCUGAAACUUUAGGCUAGUUGGGUCUACUAGGAUUUGGGCCUGUUGAUGUAAAGUACUGAACUGUUUAUUUUUUGAACUUUUAAUUUUUAAUUUGGUUUUAUUUUAUUUAUUUGUUUAUUUGGUUUAUUUCACUAACGGGCCGGGCAGAUUGGGUCUAUUACAUCUGCCCCUCUUUGAUCAUUGUCGUGUAACAGGAAUGAAGCAAAGACGAAAAAGGGCCAAUUUUGCCCGGUCAUGUCGGACCUUGGCAGCCUUAUUCCAACCUACUGCCUCUUCAGAGGUGUAGGAAUUGAUGCUUCGAUCCACUCCACUGCAACGUCAGGGAGAUAAGACUCGUAUCUUGAACUUGUUCUGCUGCAACUUUGAAGAGAAGUCUGAAGCGAUUCGCUCUACUGCAACGCCAGAGAAAUAAGAUUCGCUUUCGUAGCUUCAAUCUAUUUGACUGCAACAUUGGGGAAGUAAGAUUCGUCGUCUUCGAUCUGCUCCACUACUACUUAGGGAGAUAGGAUCCACAAUCUUCAACCUAUUCCACUGCUAUUCAGGGAGAUAGGAUAUACAAUCUUCCACCUAUUCCACUGCUGGUCAAGGAGUUAGGACUUGCAAUCUUCAACCUAUUCCACUGCUGGUCAGGGAGUUAGGACUGACAAUCUUCUACCUAUUCCUCUGCUGGUCAGGGAGAUAGGACUUACAAUCUUCAACCUAUUCCACUGCUGGUCAGGGAGCUAGGUUUUGUGAUUUCACCGAUCUGUUCUCUGAGGAACAUGACCUGUAUAAUUCAUUUAUGAACUUAAUUAUGCCUAGUGAUUAGGAUGUCAUGAUCAGAAUGAGUCAAAUGUUCCUAACUAGGCGUGUAUGAAUGCUGUAUGAAUUUGGAAUGUCAUUUUUGAGAAUGAUCCUUCUUCAUCGCUUAAGUUAUCAUUGCUCAAGGUUUGUUAAGGCUUUAUCACUGACGUGCUACAACGCCUUCUUGCCCGGUUGACUUUUUUGAAGAAACACUUAGUCAGAUUGCCCUCACUGUAAACCCCCAAGUUCAAUCCACUCGGACGUAAAAUUCGUACCAUCAUUCUCUCACUGUAACCCAAUGGUAAAAAAACUUGGCUUUUCUCAAACCUCUCUUGUCGCAAUUCAAUGGUAUAGAAUGUGAAACUCUUUGGUCCUUUACACCAUUCCUAUGGUGUCAUACCAAAUAUCUAUACACAAAUGAAGGAUUCUCUUCUCUAAGGAAACCCCCUCUUAUUGCUUGCUUGCUUGUUCACUGGAGCCCUAUCACUGACACGACAUCUUGUCACUUUGUUCAAUCAAUGUUUAGACAACAAAAUCUAAAGGGAUAGUCUUAAUUUAAACUUUUCCUUCCUAGAUAUUUCAACUUUUAAACCUAGUGCAUUCUAAACAAUAUUCCUGUUUCAGGUUACUGUAUUAUUUAGAAUCUUCUAGAGUAAUAUGCAAAACUUCUAUUUUGAAAUUUUUAUUAGUCGAUUAAUCAUUAUUCCAGUACAACAUGCUUGCAAGAAGAAUGUAAUGAUGGGUAAAAUAGUAUUGAUUUAAGAACAUAGCUCGAAACGAAUAAACUAUGAAAGAUAGUAACAAAUGAAUUGAUUGGUAAUGUGUAUCUUGAAAAAGAAUGAAGUAUUCCAAGAACAAUAGAUUCAAAUAUAAAUAGUAUGAAGACUAGGUGCCUCAAAUAUCGCAGCUUGAACUUCACUGCACAAACUUUCUGAAGACCCUUCUGAGGUUGACAUGUGUUUAAGAGAUCUACAAUACUCUGUUGAUGCCCCAAGACGUCGCCUACCCCUUUCUGUUGGUUCAGGUAUAGCAAGAUCACCACAUGCCCCAAUUCAGUCAAUAUUUGAAUCGCCCUUUUCGGGUUUUCAACUUAAAUCCUUUUUGGUCUCAAGGUGCCCUUUGCGGGUUUUCGCCUUGGGCUCUCUAUUUUUUUAUUUUAUUUUAGUUUUUUGAAAAGGCGCUCUUUGCAGGUUUUCACCUUGGUCUUUUCCCCUUUUUAGGCAAAGUAUUUCUUGACUGAGUCCGAGUUUACUGGAUUGGGCAGGCUUUUACCAUCCCUCUCACUCAAGAUCAGAGCUCCACCAGAAAAGGCCCUCUUUACAACAUAAGGUCCUUCCCAAUUUGACAUCCAUUUCCCUUUAAAAUCCUUUUGUAGAGGAAUGAUAUUUUUCAACACCAGGUCCCCUUCAUGAAAUUCUCUGGGACGAAUCUUUUUGUCAUAGGCUCGCAUCAUUCGCUUCUGGUACAUCUGUCUAUGAUUAAUAGCUUUUAAUCUUUUUCCUUCUAUCAGGUUUAACUGAUCAUAUCGAGAUUGGAUCCAUUCAGCCUCAUCUAACUUGAGUUCAGCUAGCACCCGAAGAGAGGGGAUUUCAACUUCAAUGGGUAAUACUGCCCCCAUCUUGUAAACUGGAGAGAAAGGCGUUGCCCCAGUAGACGUCCUAACAGAUGUUCAAUAGGCAAGGAGAGCGAACGGUAAUUUCUCAUGCCAGUCUUUGUAUGUCUCAGUCAUUUCCCUACUAUCUUCUUGAUGUUUUUAUUAGCUGCCUCCACUGCACCAUUCAUCUUCGGACGAUACGGUGACGAGUUGUGGUGUUUGAUCUUGAAUUGACUGUAACUUCCGCUAUUGUGCUAUUGUUCAAGUUCAGCGCAUUGUCAGAUAUGAUUCUUUCGAGUAUUUCGUAUCGACAUAUGAUCUCUUUUUUCAAGAACUUGCUGACUGUUGAUUUCGUGACAUUAGCAUAUGAAGUAGCUUCUACCCAUUUAGUGAAAUAAUCAAUAACCACGAAGAUGAAACGAUGCCCGUUAGAAGCUUUUGGCGAUAUGGGCCCGAUAACAUCCAUUCCCCACAUAGAGAAAGGCUAUGGGGAAGUCAUAACGUGAAAAGGUGACGGAGGUGCAUGUAUUUUGUCUGCAUAGAUGUGGCAUUUAUGGCACUUCUUGGCAUAAUUGAUGCAAUCUCCUUCUAUGGUGGACCAGUAAUAGCCGAAUCUCAUAAUCUGUUUAGCCAUGGUAAAUCCAUUAGCAUGCGUUCCACAAAUGCCCUCGUGGACUUCUUCUAGGAUUUUCUUGGCUUCCACAUUAUCCACACAUCUCAGUAGUACUUGAUCUUUUCCUCUUUUGUAUAAAAUCUCUCCAUCUAGGACAUCGUCUAUGGCUAAUCUCCUUAAUGCCCUCUUAUCAUUCUCCGUUGCCAGCUCAGUGUACUCGUGAUUCUUCACGUAUUGUAAUAUGUCUUGGUACCAAGGAUGACUAACUUUUUUCUCUUCCUUAAUAUUGUAGCAAUGAGCCGGGGUCUCAUAAAUGCUCAUCUGGAUAGGUUUCAUAUCUUCUAGCUUGUUCACCUUGAUCAUGGAAGCUAAAGUGGCUAAUGCAUCAGCCAUUUGAUUCUCAUCUCGUGGGAGAUAGUGGAAAGUAAUGUCAUCAAACUCUUCCGUCAAUUCGAGGACCAACUUUCGGUACCUGACUAAUUUGAGGUCUCUCGUCUCCCGUUCACCUUUGAGUUGGUAUAUUACCAACGCAGAGUCCUUGUAUACCUCUAACGUCUUAAUUUUACGUUCUAUAUCUACACGGAUGCCCAUGAUGUACGCUUCGUAUUCAACCAUAUUAUUUGUGCAAUCAAAAUCCAAUUUACUGGUGAAAGGAUAGUGGUCUCGAAUUGGGGAUAUCAGGACUGCCCCAAUCCCAUUUCCUACGGCAUUUGAAGCUCCAUCGAAAUUUAGUUUCCAAGGAUGAUAUUCUUGAUAACCUUGUUCAGCAAUUGCCACGUACAUCAAGUCUUCAUUUGGAAAAUUAAAAUCCAGGGGUUCAUAGUCUUCUAAAGCUCGAUUGGCUAAAAAGUCUGCUAUUGCACUCCCUUUAACAGCCUUCUAACUUAUAUAGACUAUAUCGAACUCGGAGAGCAAAAUCUGCCAUCUGGCCAUCCUUCCAUUCAAUGCAGUUGUCUCCAUCAUAUAUUUUUAGGGGUCUAAUCUUGAAAUUAUCUAAGUUGUAUGGUAGGGCAUGUAUUGUUUCAAUCUUCGCGUCGUCCAGAUCAAGGCACAACAUAAUUUUUCAAUAGGUGGAUAUCUCAUUUCACAGUCGGUGAAUUUUUUACUAAGAUAGUAUAUCAACCUUCUCUUUCCUCCCCGUCUCAUCAUGUUGGCCUAACACGCAUCCCAUGGACUUAUCAACCACCGUUAAAUAUUGGAUCAGUGGUUUAUUCAGGUUAGGUGGUGACAAUACUGGGUACUGGACAGGUACUGUUUUACUUUGUCAAAAGCUUUCUGACAUUCUUCAUCCCAUACACCUGGGUUAUGUUUAUUCAAAAGACGGAAUAUGGGAUCGCAUUUCUCAGUUAGUUGUGAAAUGAACCGAGCAAUGUAAUUCAGUCUUUCUAGGAAACCUCAAACUUCUUUUUGAGUAUGCGGUGGAGACAGUUCUUGUAUUGCUUUGACUUUGUCUGGGUCAAUCUCAAUCCCUUUUUCACUGACUAUAAACCCUAGAAGCUUUCCCGACCUGGUCCCAAUUGUACACUUGACUGGGUUGAGUUUGAGCUGGAACUUUCUUAACCUUAGAAAUAGCUUUCUUAGGACUUGCACAUGUUCCUUCUCUAUUUGAGAUUUGGCAAUCAUGUCGUCGACAUAGACUUUUAUUUCCUUAUGCAUCAUGUCAUGGAAAAGGGUCACCAUCGCUCUUUGGUAUGUAGCUCCUACAUUUUUCAACCCGAAUGGCAUCACCUUAUAACAAAAGGUUCCCCAUAGGGUUAUGAAUAUGGUCUUUGUCAUAUCUUCAGAAUGCAUCUUAAAUUGGUUAUAUCUCGAGAAACCGUCCAUGAAAGAAAAUAAUGAGUAUCCUGCCGUGUUGUCCACCAAUGUGUCGACGUGAGGCAAGGAAAAAUUAUCUUUCGGGCUGGCCUUAUUUAAAUCUCUGUAUUCUACACACAUUCGUACCUUCCCAUCCUGUUUAGGGAUGGGUACGAUGUUGGCUACCCAUUCUGAGUACUUGACCACUUGUAGGAAUCCAGCAUCGAACUGCUUUUAAACCUCCUCAUUUAUUUUUAGCAUAACAUCAGGCCUCAUUCUUCGGAGUCUUUGCUGAACUGGUUUGCAAUCAUCUCUUAUAGGAAGACGGUGUACUACAAUGUCUGUAUUGAGACUAGGCAUAUCUUGGUAUGACCAUAUGAAGACGUCUUUGAACUCCUGAAGUAAUGCGAUGAGGUCUCGCUUAGUUUCUUCAGUUAUGCGUGUUCCUAUUUUACUACUUUUCCUUCCUCCAGGGUCACAAUCUCCACCACUUCCUUAUGAGGUAGGAUCUGUUUCUCAUCCUGCUCUACCAUCCUCAACAGGUCUGGAGAUAAGUUACUAUCUAUGUCGUCUUCAAAGUCCUGAGAUCCCUCUAAACACAUGUCUCGUUCAAAAGGGUUCUCUGAGUCCAUAGCAGAGUCAUUCAUGUCAUUGAUAUCCGGAGACCUGCUACAGGUGCCAAGGAGUAUAUAAAGAAUGUAAAAUUUUUAAGUAUAUUUAUUCGUAUGGUAUGAUUAUAAAAUUGAUGAAAGAAUGAUUUGGAAGAAUAUGAAAGAAUCCGCAGUAAUUACUCAUAUAAAAGAAUGAAAAAAUCUUAAAGGAAAUAUCUGUUCCAAAUAACUGCGAAGAUGAAUUUCAUUAAGAUAAUGAUGUUCGAACAUAAGCCUAUUUCACAAAGGAAUUCUUAUUGUUUCUAGGCUAAAACAACAAGUGUGUUCUGAAUACUCUUGCAUUUGUACUUGUAACCGUUCUUGGAUAUCCUUUUGCAUUUGCUCUAAUUUCUCUAAUCUUUGGUCAAUUUCCUUAUUUUUCUGGCGAGUACCGUAUUGAUGCUUAAUUGGUGAGCUUUUGUCGGUUUUCAGAUUAGCUGUAAUGAUUUUAACCGGUUAGGGUCUUUCAGUGGACUCUAAUGUAUGUGAUGCAAUGUAAUGCGAAUGUAUGAAUGCAAAGAGGCGUCGAUUCUGAUUCAAUUUCAUUUAGAAAACUUUACUAGAAAACAAAAUUCUUUACAUAAAAUAGAUUACAUAUAUGGUUUUGCCCUAGUGCUCAGAAAUUUAAUUUUCCUAAGUAACGAAGCUAAUUCUUGUCCCCGACUUGAUUCCAGCUCAUACUUUACGCUUAGUGCAUCAGCUUGUACCACCAAAGUCUGCAGGUGAUCAGCUACCUCUCGAAUUUGAACCACAGCUUAUCCCAUGAUACGAUCUCUAUUUUCAACUUGAUUCUAAAAGUGGUGAAGUUGCUCCCUUUGAUGAAUUUCGUUGGUUUCCAGGUACUCAGUCCGGAUCUCACAAUUUCGCAAUGCCGAUUCCAACUCUUCUAUUCUUUCUUUCAUUUUUUUGAUCUUGCUCAAGCUCGCUCUCAAUUCCAUCGCGAAAUUUCAAAUUUGGUACUGAUGAAGAGAUCUUUCUAACUCAGCCACUCUACCUUUUAGUUCACAUUUUCCCUUUUGGUUCUCUGACAAACUCUUCUCUAAAGCUCCAUUUCGCGACUGAACCUCUCAGAAUUUCUUUUCCCAUCCAUCAGCCUUGAUCUUUUCUUCCCGAAUCUCUUAACGCCACUGUUCUAAAGUUUUCCCUAGCCCAGCAGUUCAUAUUGAUAACAUCAACUUCUUAUAGUCUGUCUUCAAAGUGUCCAAAUCUUCCUCAGCUUUGUUCUUACCUUUUCUUAAUUUCUCAAUCUCUAACUUUUGAACAUCCACAUCUAAUCCCAAGUGCAUCUUUUCUUCUUCCAACUGCUCGAUCUUUUUUCUAAGCUCUGCAUUCCUCUUCUCAAAAUCUUACUUUAUAAUUUCCAAUUCAGAGGGAACAACCCGCAAAAGUUCUUCUAUCGAUAAACUGUCUCCUUGACCUGGUCUUGGGAUAUUAUCUUUGAUUCUUCUAACCCACCAUUCAUUAUAUUCAGGUGUCGUCAUCAAGCCUACGGCUAAUCUCUUCAUCUGUCGAAUUUGGUCCCAUGCACUGGUUAUCUCUCGAAUCUUCUUUUUAUAGACAUUGUCUUUAUAUGAGAAUUCGAACUCAGCUAAGCCUUGGGUUGCAGGUCUAAACUGCCUUGACCUGUACUGUCUUAGCACCAUCAAUGGAGCAUAACCAACAGCUCCCCAGAUUCUAAGUAAUGGGACCCAAUCAAAAUUACCACAUCGGUACGAGAUCUCAUCCGGAAGCAACCACUGGGCUCUCCACUCGAUGUCCUCCUCAUGAAGAUUCUGAAGAAUGACCAACCAUUUCUCUUCUGAGAUGUCAUCUCUCCUUGGUGUAGCUGCUAUCUCUUUUAAUGGCGAAUAAUUUUCAGGGAAGACUCGAUACGAAACCUUAUCAAUUUUCCAAAAAUAACCGUAGAACCAUGCAAGUAGAAGCUGCAUACAUCCGAUGAAUCUGCCUUCACCCCUCCUUCGACAUGAAUUCAGUGACCUGAAGGUUUCUGCCAAAAUUGUCAAAACUGGCAUAACCCUCUUAUCAAGUCAGCCAAAGAGAUCUAAGGUCUCCUCAUCUACGUGCCCUAGGGCCCUAGGAAAAAUUACUAGCCCAUAAAUGCUUAGAGCAAAGACGUCGACCUUCUUCCUCGCAUCAGGGUGUGCCAAAAUCAGCUCUUGCAGGCUUUUCUAAGGGAUGCAUUUGCUUUCUCCGUUCUUCUUGAUUCGUGCUGUGACCCACUGCUUACUCAUUCCGGUGAUGUUCAUCAACUUCUUUACAAAGGUUAGGACAUUAACGACUCUAGAGUAGACUUUAUCAACUUGGAUCUUAGGGCAACGAAGUAAAGCUGUAUAUUCCUCUAUAGUGGGCACUAAAUCAACCCUUCCAAAGGUAAAUCAACCAUAUGCGGGGUUCCAAUACUGAGCGAGGGCCCGAAACAGAUGUUCAUCUACCUUCAUGUCGAGUAGAUACGACAAAUCCCCAAAACUAAAGUUGAACAAUUGCUUAGUUUCGUCAUCCCAAUGAUCCCAUAGUACUUUUAAUUCCUAAAGGCUAUUUUGCGUUACACUGAUACGGGUGUAGCCCCACAACUCCGACGUGUACCCCCCGACUAGACUAUCUCCUUUCUGUAAUUGUGUUUUCCCCGACCACAUACGGACAACAGCAUUGUCCUCUACUUUAUCAAGAAAUCUGUUCUCCAUGGCAAGCUUUCUAAUUUAGUAAUCGAACUUGAAUCGACACUCUUUUGAAUAUGAAAUGACAUGCAAACAUGGCAAAAGGCAUCAUAAGUUAGUACAACAUACAAAAACACAACUUUAAGCAAGUAAAAAAAAAUCAACACCUCUCGGGGUAACAACUAGAGUUUCCGCAAUAUGAUCGAGGGUGGAUUCCUAGUGUUUCCUAUAUGCAGUUCGGUUCUAAAGUUGAGGUACUUGAACCAGAAGAUUUCUCGAUCCUCACCCAUUAUAGGCUCAUACGGACCGAGUUCGGUUCAGGGGAAUACAUUUCCCUAUGGCUGCAUGGAGAUGAAAAUAUCACGAAGAUAUAGGUACGGAUGUAUCCCGGAAGCAGUCCACUAUCCUGCACGGAGGUGAAAACCUCACGAAGGACUAGUUUCUCACUCCCACUUAAAAGGGUAAGACUAAACAGUCUGUAUGCAAUAUGAUGCUAAGAUAUAAAACUCAAUUUACAGUAAUCAUACCAUACACAAAUGCAAUGAGAGGAUCGUAAUUUUUCAAAUUAAAUUUUCAAUUUUCAAUAAUAAGACAAAAACAAUCAAUUUUACAGCUUGACUCUCUUGAGGUCCCUAGUGGAGUCGCCAAGCUGUCCAAACCAUUUUAACAAAAAAUUUAGUAGUCGACUUGAAAAUGAAACGAAAAUUGGAGUCACCACCGACCCUUUAAUAAGGUGUCAUCGGCUCAGCUUGAAAAUGAUUUUGGUCUGCGAAAUUUGAGAAAAUAGGUUUGGGAGUUCGUUACGCACGAGGAAAGGGUUAGCACCCUCGUAACGCCCAAAAUUGGUACCGAAUUGAUUAAUUAAGGUCUUAAUUUCGAAUAUAAAAAAUUCGUGAAGAAUUUUAAAAAUUAUGAUCCUCCCUUUUAUUAAUGUUAAUUUUAUAAAAGAUGCUUGGAUAAACGAGAUGAAUGCUAAAGACCUUCUCGUCUCAGAGUAAUAAGAUGUCACGCCCAAUACAUUAGGACACGAAAUUUUUAGUCCUCGAGAAUGAGCUUGUCUUUUGAUUUUCAAAACUCUUGCGGUGGAGUUAAAAAGGGAUAUUCAGUUGCUUUAAGUCAGAUGAAAAAUUGAAACUUAAUAUAUUAGGGCACAAUUUCUCUAAAUUCCUAGCAUUGAAUAUAGCCCUUAUUAUUUAAAUAUUCAUUUCGAGAAAAUGACACGUCACAUCCAAUACAUUAGGACACGACGUAUCGAAUUCCCGAAAGUGAUUUUUUGGUUUAUGCGCUUUGAUUGUAGAAAAUUUUUGAUUAUUUAGAUUCAACGAGGAAAAUUGGAACCCAAUACGUUAGGGCUCCAUUCCCUCGAAGAUUCCAAAUUUUGGGUAUUGCGUCAUUUUGAAAGUUUUUGGAUAAAUUGGUUUUGAUACUCAAAUGAAAUUAAAUGUAAUUCUUUAAAAUAAAAAUGAUUGAUUAAUGAUGUACAAUGCGAGAUGAUGAUUCAUGAACUAAAACGUAUACUAACGAACGUCAAACAAUCAAUAAAUAUAAAUAAACAAUACAAUAUAACAAUGGCAAGAAUCUCAUAUUAUAUGUUGGCAGAUAUUAAUAAGAAUUAAAAGGAAUAUCGGGUAAAUUAAUAUAAACAAUUUUUGAAAUAGACUAAAAAGUGAAUAUCAUACAAGGGUGAAAGUUGAAAAUUAUUAAUAAAUCACAUGCAUCAAAUUUUAUCACAAUAUAUAUAUAUGCGAAUUUGAAAUAUAUUUGAAGGAAGAUAAGAGAAACACUACGUGAAAUUAUAAUAUUAAAAUGAAUUUUAAAGUAAAUAAAAAUAUAUGUGUAACAUACCAAAUAGCAUACAUACAUUAAUCUAAAUAAGCAACAUGUAUAUGAAAAGAAAAGUUUAAUAAUAACACAAAUAAUACUAGGGUUAAUAAAUAAUAUUAUUAUUAUCAAAUUAAUUACUACAUAAAAAAAACCAAAGGGAUUAGACUAACUUAAAAACAUAAUUAAAAGAACCAAAUGAAAAUAAAACAAAGUAAAGGGGCCGAAUGCAAUGCGUGGAUAACUUGGGGGACCAUAUGGGAAAUAAUCCCCGUCCCUCAAGAACACAGCAUAUAAUCUGGGCCCAGAUGAAAGAAAAGCAAAAUGAAGUGCGAAAUUUAUAAAUAAAUAAAAACUAAUAUGAAAACAUUAUGAAGUAAAGGGGACCAAAUGCACAAAUAACCCUACCAAGGCCUCAACGCGCGGAUCUCAGCCGCUUCUGGGUUGGGUCAUCGGGUUAAGCAGGUUAAACGGUGUCGUUUUGAGGGUUGUUAACCCUAGCCCAAAACGACACCGUGCAACUAUAUUAUUUAAACCUAAAUUUUUUUUAGCUCAGUUUGCUUAACAAAGAAAAAAUAAAAAAGAGGGCCGUCCCCUCCUCUCGUCUGCGGUAGGGUUUCAACCCCAGUCUUACAUCACCGAAAGCUCCACCGAUUUCUGGCCUCACAGCCCUCGCCCGAACUCCGAUUGAGGCGAAGUGAACGAGGUUUCGGUUGAUGCUAACAUAGAGGUAAGUAUUCCUUCCUCUAUCUUUAUUUUACAAGUGUCGAGAGUAAUAAGCGAAUCAGAGAAAAUAUAAAACGGAGAAAAAAAAGAAAAAAGAAGUCACAUUCAGCAAACUUUUCUUUUUUGAUUGCUCUUGCUAUUUUUUUUGUGUUUGUCUGCGUAACCAUUUACAAAGGUUUCGCCUUUUGUUUUAUAGGCCGAAAAAAGUAAACAAAAAAUGAAAAAUACGAAAAGUACAAAUUUUUCUGUUUUCUGCUGCGUUGUUUGCAUCCCAUUUGUAGGUGUAUCGGGGCAGAAAUCGACGUAGAGGUACGGAGGCGAAGGCGCAUGCGUGAGGGCAGAGGCUUGACACGCGCGGGGGGAGUCAGGGCUAUUGUGACGCUCGGGCUUGCUCGUUGCUAGGGUAUCGGCCUUGAUUUGGGUUGGGUAUUGGGCUGGUGUUGGGUUUGUAACGUUUGGGCUUAGUGGGUCUAAUGUGUUCGGGUUUAGGGUGUCUGAAACUUUAGGCUAGUUGGGUCUACUAGGAUUUGGGCCUGUUGAUGUAAAGAAUUGGACUGUGUUAUUUUUUGGACUUUUAGUUUUUAAUUUGGUUUUAUUUUAUUUAUUUGUUUAUUUGAUUUAUUUCACUAACGGGCCUUGCAGAUUGGGCCUAUUACAAACCCAAUAGAACGUUAUACGAAGAGAAAUUCAAGAAUGAUGCCAAAAGAAAGAAGCAAAAGAAAAAGAAAAAUAAAAAGAAACGGUGAGGGAGAAGAAGUUAAUGUAUAAGGAAAUUCAUUUAAAAUCUUAAGAUCGAUAUUUACGAAGAAGUGCAAAAAUAAUAUUCCUUAAUGCACACACAAAAAUUCAAACAUUGGACCAUUGAAACAAACAAGUGUUUAACCAUUGAACUAAUAUGUUCAUUCUUUAAACCUUAACACACAGAAUCUAAGUUAAGUGAUACAUGAAAAUCUAAUAAUUUAAUUAAAGAAUACGCAAAACUUGAAAACACAUGACUCAAACCUCAGACCUUUAGUGAGGAACCAAAGCACAUUACCAUAUAAACACCUCACAUUUCCAUUGACACAAACUAAAAAGAAAACUCGUAUUUUUAGGGUGUUACAUAUUUUUUCGAUGUUUUAAUUGAAAUGCAUCAUGUUUCUCUUGACUUUAGUAGAGGCUAACACCUGUAUCUAAUAUGACUUUUUACAUCCUUAGCCUCAUCUGUCAUGUCCAUUAACACGUGGAAAAUACCUGGCAAUCCAUGCGCAACACCUCAAUGCUUUUCUCCAUACCAUUCCAACAUCAAAUGACUCCCUCCUCCUUUCUUCCCUAACGCUCUUCCAUUCUUGAUAAUUUGAAUUUCAUCAACUGUACGUUGCACAAUAAAACACCCAAAAGUUUCACAGUUCAUCCAACCUUAUUUAGAGAUGAUAUAUUGCUAACAUAUACUUACUGUAGUUGUAGAAGGGAUAGUCCCUUCAGCAAGAUGCUUGUUCAAGAACAGACAAACCCAUCAAAACCCAACUCUUCCAUGCAAUAAUUCAACAAGGAGAUCUGUUGAGAGCUUAAUUUGAUUAAUUUAUUCAUAGAAAUUACAGUAGCAACCAUAAAGUUGAAAAAUCAUCUAUAGAGUACCGUUAUAAACGAGGUUAAGUAAUGAUUAAGCGACUCUUGAUUUCCAGCCUACUUUGUGGCCUCAACAUCAAGAGCAUAAACAUGGAUAAUUAUUAUUAGAGUAAACUACCAAAACAGUUCAUUUUCUUUAUGUCAGGUUACAUUUUAGUCACUUAUGUUUGAAAUAUUACGUUAAAUAAUCAUUUCAAACGAAAAUUUUAACGUGCCACAUCAGCUUACCGCUACACCAUUAACAACAAUUAAUGACUCAGUAACUAAAAUGUUACAACACAUUAAUGUAAGUGACUAAAACGUAACAUUUCAAAUAUAAGUGACUAAAAUAUAACAUAAGGUAAAUAAAAGUAACUAUUUUGGUUGUUUACCCUUAUUAUUAUUUAGAGAGAUAAAUAAAACAAUUUAUCUUCCUCUAUUGCGCAUUUAUAUAUAAUUUAAAUAGAGAAAAAAUAGAUAGAAUAUAAAUAUAGAGUUUUGCAUCUUUUUAUAUCUCCUAAAAAUUUCCUAUUUUUGGUAAUUGAUUGAUUUCUGAUUGCAGUGGUUUGUUUGACCAACUGAUUCUAUUAAUUGAUUUGAUCAACUGAUUCUAUUAACAUCCAUUAUGAAAUUUAAUUAAUGAAUAUUUUUGAAAUUUUAAAUAAACAAAUUUCUUAAGUUCCUUAUUUACAAAUAUUAACUUUAUGAAAAUUAAUAAAUAUUAAUAGUGUAUCAAUAUAAUUGUAAACUAUAUUUUUAGUGAUAAUUUUGUCAUGUUCUUAGUAUGUAAUUUAGUGAUAAUUAUGUCACACUCUAAAUGAAUUUGUUAAGUAGCAUAUUUCAAUUAAUAUAAAGUUGCAUAAGAAAUCAUUUUACACAAGUAAAUUGAAAAUAAAUUAAGAGUACAUAAAUAUUGAAUGAUGAAUUGGCUCGAUUGAAAAUUUAUCGUGGCAAUGUUGAUUUUUGUAGAUUCACGGUGGAGUUUUAAAAAAAAUUUACUUUGGACUUUGGAGGUGAAAGUGAAAAUAAGAGAAUGGAGGCUAUUGAUAUCUUAGCACCCCUAUUUGAGAGCAUGUGGCAGAUAAAGUAAUUUUUGAGCAAGCAUGGUUAGAUAUGUCAUUCCACAUAUCUUAUUCCCUAAUGUUGAAAAAGUUACCCAUCCCAACAGUUUUUUAUUUUGGAGGUUUUAGCUCAAUAAGCUCUUGCAAACCUCCAUUCACCAAGUACUACAAUUAGAGGGUUUGAUUACCCAAUCCUCCAUUUGUGCACAAAUAAACUAAAAAAAACCCAAAACUCUGUUUAACAAAUAUCUCAUAGCCCAAUUUAAGUAAUGAAGCAAAUAACAAAAUUGAUUGUAUGGGUAAAUAGGAUACAACCCAAUUUGAGUAACGAAGCAAAAGAAGAAAGUGAAUUAUGUACGAAAAAAAUAAAGAAGAUGAGUUCAAAUAUCACCCAUGGCUAAGCAUAGGUUGAGGUUGCUUGUGUCAACAGGUGAAGUAAUAAAUUAUUUUAGGGGCAAAACCGAAUUAUAAUUUUUGUAACAACCCAUUUUCGGUAAAAUCAGAAUAGUGGUUUUGGGACCAUAAAUCUGAGUUCGAAAAGAAAUUUUUAAUAUUAUUUUAUGGUCUACAGUAUGAUAAUAAUUUCAUAUGAAAAUUUCAUAAAGAAAUUUUACCGAUUACAUGUUUAAUUUGAUAAAAGACCAAAUUGCACAAAGUGCAAAAGUUGAGUUCUAAUAGCUAAAGGGAUUAAAUAGCUAUAGAAUUUUAAAUUGGAGGUCUUUAUAUGGUAAAUAGACCAUUAAAAAUGCUUAGUGAUUAAGGAAGAUGAUUCAUCCAUGGAAAAUAAAAUAAAGAAAAGGACUAAAUUGGAAAGUAAAAUAAUAAAAGAUGAUAAAUGAUAAAAUAAUGAAAAUAUAAUCAUUUAUAUCAUCUUUCCCAAAUUAAAAGUAUGGAAACCCUAGCCAUGGAAACCUAAGCUCAAUCCAACUUAUUUUGCUUGAUUAGGUAAGUAUUCUUGCCCCGUUUUUAAUGAUUUUUAUAUUUUCGAGAUUGUAAUAGCUUAAUCUAGCUAUCUCGGGGAUUAAUUUGUAAAUUUAUCAAGGUACUAGGGUUUUUCCAUGGAAUAACAUAGAUGAAUUAUGAAGUUUUAUGGUAGAAAAUGAAAGAUUGUUGAUAGAUAAACAACUUUUGUAAAGUGAAUUUUUAUGAAAUUAAAUUUUUAGGGACUAAAUUGAAAAGAUGUGAAAUCCAUGAAAAAAUUCUAAAUUUUAUGAAAUAAAUGGGCUGUAAAUGUUAUAUAUAAAAUUUAGCUAGGCUUGGAAUAAGGAUUAAAUUGCAUGAAUUUCAUUUUUCGAGCCUAGGGACGAAAUCGUCAUUAAUUAAAACUAAAUGGGCAAAACGGUAAAUUUUCCUAAGAUGUGAAUUGGACUGAAUUGAGUAUAAAUUGUAUUAAAUUGAUGUUAAAUUUACUCGUAUAGAUCCGGAUAGACCAAAUUAGGAGUUAGAACUAGGAAAAGAGAAAGUGUCGGAUUAGUAGAUUUUACGUGCAUGAACAUUUGUCGAGGUAAAUUCUUAUAAAUAAAUUUUGUAUAUUUAUAUGUUUGAAUUAGAUGCUGUAUAUGUGAAUUGUAUAAAUGCCGUAAGUGUGAAAUUGAUCACAUAUCCGAUAAUACCUUAGAAAUAAUAAGUCUCGUUUGGAUAAAGGAAAUUUGAUGGAUACAGAAUUCACGAUUGGUUGUAGUUCUGCAUAUGUUGCGAACACACCAUAGCUCUUACGAGGGUCCCGUUAUAAGCCCUCUCGAGCUUCCCGUUACAUGGUUCUUGGGAGCAUCCCGAUUGGUAUUGAUAUUGCAUAUGUUGUGGACAUACCGCAGCUUUUUGUGAGCGUCCUAUUAUAUGAUCGGUAGUGAUCCUGCAUGUGUUGCAGAUAUACCGCAACUCACUGUGAGCAUCUUGUUAUAUGGCUCUCCGGAGCUUCCCGAUAUUGCUCGCUUGAACUUCCAGGAUUUAUGGCUAUCCGGAGCUUCUGAUUUAUGGCUCUUCGGAGCUUCCCGUUAAAAGCCUUUUUCUGAGCUUCCUGAUUUAGGCUCUUAUGAGCUUCCUGUUAUAGCCCGGAUAAGCUUUCUGCUACAUGACUCACAUGAGUUUCCCGUUAUAUGGCUCGAAAGAGUGCUUUCUGAUUAUGUGCUCUAAUGAGCACUCCUGAAUAUGAGUUGACAGAUUAUAAUUGUACACCUCGAGUGUGCUACAUGUUUUAUCCAUCAAUAUUGCAAAUAAAUUCAACGAGAAAAAUCCUGACAUGAGAAAAUAUGAGCAUGAAAUGAAUUAUUAUACUUAUCUUCCUGAAAUACAUGAAAAUGAUGAUGCAUGAUAUAUGGAAUUGACCUGUCCAUAGGCCGGGUCGGGCCGGGCCUGGAAAAAAAUUUUGGCCCACCUUUUAGGCCCGGCCCGGCCCGAAAUAUGGGCCUAAAAUUUUUCCCAGGCUCGGCCUGGGAAAAAAAUAAUAAGCCCGAGCUCGGCUCGAUUUUUAAUAAACACAAAAGAAAUAUUUAAAAAAAUAAUUUUUUUUAAAGUAUUUUAAAAUUAAAAAUUAAAAAUAUAUAUUUAUUAUAUUCGGGCCGGGCUCGGGCCAAAAAAGUUGAGCCCGAGCCCGGCCCAUUUUUUAAACGGGCCUAAUUUUUUUACCCAAACCCAUAUUUCGGGCCUAUAUUUUUACCCGAACCCUCCCAUAUUUCGGGCAGGCUGUCGGGCCGGGCCGAGCCGCCCGGCCCAUGGACAGGUCUAAUAUGGAAGUAUGAAAUGAUGAUAUAUAAACAAUGAAUUUGUUUGAUGAAUAUGUUCAUCUAUGAUUAUAGAUUUGUACACCUCGAGUGUACUUCCCAUGUUUCCAUCGAUAUUUCAAUUGAUUUAAUGGGUAAAAUCCUGAUAUGAAAUAAUCUGAACUUAAGACAAAUUAUUAUGAAAAUGUACUUGAAAUACAUGGAUAUGAUUUGUAUAUGUUAUAUGAAUUCAUGAUGUGGAAAAUAUAUGUAUAUGGAAAUUUUGUUAUUGUUGAGCCUAAUCAUAUUUCUUGAUAUUUGAAUGAAAUAUAUGACUAACAAGAGUAAUAAGGAUAUGUGUUAGGGCUUGUGACCAAAUUGGUUGAUUAUGUCUUGCAUGUUUAUCUUGAACAUGAAUGAAUGGUAAGUUAAUUACCAUGUUAUACGGGCUUACUAAGCAUUUCAUGCUUACUCUGUUUUAUUUUCCCCUGUCCUAUAGUAAUUAGGAAGCUCGUUGGAUUGGAAGUUUUGCGGAGAUCACUCACAUUAUCCAUCAGCCCAUUUCGGUAUAUAUGGUAAAUCAAUUAUGGUUAUAAUGGCAUGUAUAGGUUAAUUGAUCAAUAUUGGCAUGUAUAUAUUUUGGUUAUAAUUAGCCAUUGAUAUGACUUGUGAUGAACAUGUUUUGAUUUAUAUAAGAAAUUAUGUUAUGUUUGGCAUGUGUUUGAAAUGAUUCAUUUAAGCUAGUAUAUUUGAUAAAAUACGCAUAAAGGUGAACUUGGUAUCUAGGUAAGUAUGAGUAUAAGAUUGGCAUGAUAAUAAAUUAUCAUUUAAGGUGCCUAAAGGCACAUUGGUUGAAUGUUUGUAUUGCAUUAUGAAUAUGUAAAAAUGUUGGUAUAGGUGGAAGACAAAUUGGAUGAGAAUGUGGCUUGACAAAUAGCCUAUUUUCAUUCACACGGGUAGAGACACGGGCGUGUGUGACACAUGGCCUAGAACAUGGGCGUGUGAUCUGGCUGUGUGUCCUCUACAUCUUAAAAAUUAAAAAAUAGAAUGCUCAGAAUUGAUCACAUAGCUUGGCACAUGGGCGUGUGAUUUGGCCGUGUAACCCCUACACCUAUACACGGUCUAGCACACAGGCGUGCGACUUGGCCGUCUAACCCAAGUCAGAGAGUUACACGGCCUGAGGUACGGACGUGUCCCUUGGCUGUAUGAGCCACACGGCCUGACCACACGGGCGUGUGUCCCCUGCACCUAGGCAAAAUUUUGAUAUUUGAAAUUUUUUUGAGUACCCGAUUUAGUCCCGAUUUGAUUCUAAUGUAUAUUUUGGGUCUUGAGGGCUCAUAUAAGGGACAUUAUGAUUGAUUUCUGAUAUGAAUGCUAUAAGACAUGAAUUUAUUUGUUUAUCUGAUCCGUAAAAUCUGGUAAUGCUCCGUAACCUUGUUCUGACGACAGAUAUAAGUUAGGGGUGUUAUAAUUUUUUUGAGAGAAUGUAAUUUUAUAAUAUACUAAUAUACGAUUUUAUCAUUUUUGAAAGGUUGAACAUAAUUUUGUUCAUACCUUGAAGGGUCAAAAUGUAAUUUUAUUAUAGAUUAACUUGUAAUUUUGUUAUUUUUAAAGAGACUAAACUGAAUAUUUCCAUUUUUAGGGGCCAAGACCACUGCUAGUUAGACCUGCUCAUGGGUCGGGUCAUUCGUCCUAGCCCGAAGGCCCACUCAAAAAAUAGGAGAAUUUGAAUAAACAUACGAGGUCCAAGAAAUGGGAUUGGGUAAAAUUUGAAGCCCAUUUUUCUAUAUGGGUCGAGCUAAGGACAAGAUUUUUUGGCUUGAGCCUCGGCCCGACAUAAGUAUAUUAUGUUAUAAAAAUAAUUAUAUUAAUUGUAUAUGUUAAAUAAUAAUUAUAUAUAUUAAAUCAUCAACCCAAUAACAAUUAUAAUUCAUUACCCAAAACUUAAAAAAAGCUUACCCAACUAAAUAACACAACCCAAAAUAUAAAAUGUGUUUUUUUAAUAUAAUAAAAUAUUUAUUAUAUUUAUGAUAAUUUUUUUAAAAUAAAUAUUUUUUAAUGUAUUAGAAAAUUUUUAUUUUAACAUUUUUAAUACAUUUAGUGUAAUACUUUUUUUAAAAAUUAAAUAAAAACUAAUCUAAAAAUAUCAAAUAUGGGCAGGUUAAGUCAAACCCGAAUUUAUCUCUUUUAAAUUGGAUUGAACUUGAUCAAAAGAAUAAACUUAUUUUUCGAAUCGAAUCGGACCAAACUUAGAAAAUUGAUCUAAAUACUUUGCACAAACUCAAUCUAAAUUCGACCUAACCCAACCCAACCCAUCAGGAGCUCUACUACCUACCUCUUUAGCUUUGCCACUACUUGCGUCAAUAACGCAAAUAUGUGGUGGGGUAGGGGCGGAAAAUGCAGGCAAGGCAUGAAGAAAGAAAGAGAAAGGCAACGGUUUGUUUAAGGUCCAAAGCAGUGUGUUUGAAAAGAUGAGAUAGAGAAGACUAAGGUUUGAUGAGAGUAUCUCCAAUUUCUUCUCGAUUGUUUUUAAAACAAAUAGAUUUGUGCAUUUUAAUUAAUUUUUUAUGAUUUACUGUUUGCAUUCAAUAAUUUUUUAAUUUAAUGAUUCUGAGUUCUGAAGAUAAUGAGGGAUGGAAACUUGAAUGAUUUGCUAAACCUUGGGGUUUUUUUUUUUAUUUUUUAAAUAGAAGUUUUUAAUUUGUUAAGAUUUUCCAUUAAAAUAUAAAAAAAUAGCCUUAUAUCCUUCAAACUUAGAUUUGUGUUUUAAUUAUUAUGUAAAUGGUAAGAAUGGAGUGAACAAAUUAGUUGAGAUUCGUUAUAACAUAUAUUAAAAAAAAGUAUAAAAACAUAUAUUUAUCAAAUCCAAAAAUAUUUUAAAGAUUUGAAAUUCAUUACCAAACGAGUUUCUAACUAAUCCAUGGAUUUGAGAAAUGAUCAUGAAUGCUAUAUUUUUAAAUUAUUUUCUGCUUAAUUUACAUUAUCUUUGAAAUCUAAAUCCAAAUUCUAAAAUACUAGUUCCUAAAUACUACUUAAAAUUUUUUAAAAUAAUUUCAAAGACCAAGGAUUGAAUUAAUAAAACUAUAAAGGUUGAGGACUAUAAGGGUUAUUCUACCUUUGCUAAAUAAUUGCCACAUUCACAAUUGAUGGAAAAAUUGGAUUAAAGGUGGCGGAAGGACAAGUUUUUUAAAAAAUAUAUAGAGAAAAUUAAAAUCUCAAAAUUAAAAUAAAAAGAUUAAAUUUUAAAAUAUUAGAGUUGUGUGACCCGAAUCUCGUUUGGUCCGGCCUGAAAAGUUCGAGGUACAACUCAUUUGUUAAAGAAAUAAAAUAGAGAGACAAAAUUGUGGAUAUGUGGGAGCGAAGGUUUAAGGCUGUAGCUCACCAUAGAUCCCCAUCCACCACUCCGCCUCCGAGGUACGAAUCUUGCCGUUCAAGUUGAAUCAAUAUAGGAAUAUACUUCUUCUAUUAGACGUUGAUUAUAAAAUGGUUGUUUAACCUUUAAAACAUUUGUAGUUGAAAACCUCUUGUAUUGUUAUUUUUCAACAUUAGUGAAUUUAUUCUUCUCUACCCAUAGUUUUUUCCAAUAAAGGUUUCCACGUAAAAUAUGUAUUCUUAUUACUUUGCGAUCAAUUCUACUACUAUUAUCAACAUAUAGUAUAACAUAAAAAAGUAUUUAAUGUAUUUAAACCUAAUCAAAAUUUAAUGUUGUCUACCAAGGAAUUUCAACAACUAUACUUUUCUUUUCGACAUUAGCCUUUCAGGUAUAAUAGCAGAGGAGUGUAGCUAUGAUAUACUGUAAUUUGUACCAAGAGAAGUGUGGUGAUAUGGAUGAUAUACCAACUCUCAACUUUAGCUUAAGUGAAAGCAUAUUUUCUUAUAUGUUAUAAAUUAUGGGUGGAGCCAGUUUAUUAUGGUUUAAGUUUUCAAAUAUUAUAAGAUGUUUUUAUUUUGAGAUCUUGCUAAAUUUUUAACAAACGAUUAUGGAAAAUAUUGAAUUUAUUGAAAGUAUGUGGUUACUAGUGUAAUAAUAUGAGUAAAAAUAUAUUUAACACGUGUUUUAAAAUAGUUAGACAUAAAAUUAAGAUAAUUAGUAUAGAUUUAAAUAUGCAAUUAGAAAUAUGAGUGAAAACUCUUGUAAAAAAUAAGACCUCUUCAAAAUAAGCAAAAACUUUUCCUUCUUUUUGCUACAAACAAGUCAUGUAAGUGGUUAAAAAUUACCAAUUACGAACAAUCUUAUAACUAAUGACUAAAACAUGUGGAGAAAAUAACACUUCAACCAAACGUAGCAUUAAUUAUAAAAAUAAAAUUUAAUUUGAAUUUGAUCAAACUUAAAAGUAAGAAAAAAAAACUUUAUCCAGAUCUAGAUUUAAUCAACAGCUUGCCAAUGUUUUUAAAACUGGAUUGAUGGUCGAACCAAUUAGAUCAUCGUUUCGUCGGUUCAACCGGUCUGAUUAAAAAAUUAUUAAAAAUUCAAAAAAAAUUAGUGCAAUCAACUUUUUAUCCUAUUAACUGAUCCAUACUGGUUCCCGAACCAACCAGUUUAAAACCCCUUUUCAAAUUGAUAUCCCAAUUGAUUCCUAGUCCAAUCGAUCAAAUCGACUGAUAUGAUUCAAACAACAUUCAACUCCCCGUAUCUUACCCAACAUUGUCACCUUUUGAGAUUAGAGUCAAAGCUGAGUCAAAGCAGGGGUGACAUCCCGACGAGGAAUCACGCGACGUUUCAACAACGUGAUGAAUUCUAUCUCAAAGUAGCUGUGUAAUUAGACUUUCAACAGAGUUACUUUUCCCUGUUAAACUCAGAUUAUUCUAGAGAUAUUUUAGUCAGAUUAGAACUCUAAUCUUAGCCUAUAAAAAGGGCUUUAGUAACCCUAGAAUAGAUAUUUUCAUAACAUCAAGAUUAAGAUAAAAGAUUAAGAGAAAGCUUUGAGAGAGUUUUGAGGGGCUUUUUUGUUUUAGCCAGAGAGUUUUAUAUUUUGGGUUAGAGUUUGUUUUAAUUAUCUCCAUUUUGUACUAUUCAAUUAUUUGCUCAUUUAGUGAAGUCUCAUUUGCCCGUGGUUUUUUAUCCUCUUUAGUUGGAAGAGUUUUUCCACAUAAAUAUUGGUGUUUGAUCUUUUCUACUUUUCUUGUUUGUCGUUUAUUUGGGUUUAUCCCUAACAAACUGGUAUCAGAUCUUGGUUAGGAUUCCGUAAUCAACCCGUUCAGAGAUGGUGACAACGAGAUUCGAUAUUGAGAAGUUUGAUAGGAUCAUAAAUUUCAGUUUAGGUCAAGUUCAGGUGACUACAACAUUGGUUUAGAACGACCUGAAGAAUGAGAUAAGCUUGAUGAGAAGACUCUAUCUGUAAUUUAGUUGUGCCUUAUGAACAAUGUGUUGCAGGAGGUGUUUAUGGAGAAAACGACAUCUGGCUUAUAGAGAAAGUUAGAUACCCUUUACAUGACAAUGUCUCUGGCUAAUCGAUUGGUGUUGAAAUAAUGCAUAUACACGUUUUAUAUGGCCGAAGGUGCGUACCUUAGGGCUCACAUUAGUGAAUUUGUUACUUUCUUGAAUGAUUUAAAGAAUGUCAAGGUUAAGAUAGAUGAUAAAGAUCAGGCUAUGCUGUUAUUGUGCUAUUUGUCUCAUUUAUAUAAGUCUUUAAUGGAGACAUUGUGUAACAACCUGAUUUUUAGUGGUGUGAGAAAAAAUAAUUUUGGGACCAAAAUUUUGACGAGUGAGUUCGUAAAUGUUACCAAUUAAUAAUUAUGAAUAUAAUAGAGUGUCAUAUUAAAGUUUGGUCUAGUGAUUUUGAUGUUUGGUUGGUCAAUUAAGGAAAAAUGACUAAAUCGUAAAAACUAAAAAAGUUAAUUUCUAUUGACUUAUUUUAGUUAAGUGGAUUGAUUAAUGGUCUUUAAGGUUAAAAUUAGCAAUUUGCCCACUUUUCUAGGAAGUGGAUGGUUAGGUGUUUAUUUUCUCUAAAACAAUAGUAAAAUACAAUUCAAUUUUUAAUGGUUAAAAUGUAAAAAGAAACAAAAUCCCAUCAUCUUCUUAUUUUUGUUUUUUCACCAUCGAAAUAAACAAUUAGAAGAAGGAGAAGCCAUUGUUAAGCUUCUAGGAAACAUUCAGUUAUUGCAUGGUAUGAAUUUCAAAGACGUUUUUCGUAAAUUUUAUGUUUUUGAGAUCGUUGUAGCUUAAUCUAGGUAGCUCAGAGACUAUUUUGUAAAACUAUCAAAAAUUUUUAGUCACCAUUGUUGUUUUGAAUUUUAUUUGGAUGUUAAAUGGUAGAGUUUGGAACUUUGUUAGGAAAUAAGGCUUAUUUGUAAAGAGACGGUGGUUAGUUUUUAAAUUAGGGACUAUAAUGGAAAAGUUCUAAAAUUAGCUUGAGAUUUUUAUAAUUUUUGGUUUUAUAGGGUUAUCUAAGGAUUGAAUUGAAAAUGGUUUGAAGGGGUUUAAAUGUGAAAGUUAUAAAGGUAUCGAUUUUAAGGGAUAAAUUGAAUAAAAUUUAAAAGUUUAGGAAAAUAUUAUAAAAUGUUAAAUAAAUAAUCAUAUGCACAAAGUUAUACUUUAUAAGUAUUUGAAGUUGAUAAUUAAAUUAUAUUAUAUUAUAGAUCAAGAAACAAAUCAAUCGGUAGAUAAAUGCAGAAAAUGAAAAAUUGCUGAGUAGUCCUUGGUGUCGUGUUUGUUGCUGUUUCGGUUUAGGUAAGCUCGUAUAAUGAUUAGUUUGAAUUAUAAUUGUCUUGUGGUUUGGUAUAUAUGUAUAACUUGUAUUGAGUAGUUAUGGAGAAAUAAUUUUGAAUGCUUGAUUGACUGAAAGUGUGAAGUAUGGUAUAGACAAUGUAUGUGAUUGAAAAUGGGAAUUUCUAUAGUUGAAUUUAUGCGUAUGUAAUAAUGUUUAAGAACAGAAAGAAAUGGAUAUGAAUUGAGUCCCGUAUGAACAUAGUGAACAACUAGGAUAAAAAUGACAUGUCAUUAGUGUUAUUACUAGUGGCAGAGGUAGAAAAUCUUUUUGGGAGGGGGCAGAAGUAAAUUGUAUAUUUUUAUGAUAGUAAAAAUGUAAUUUUACCAUUUUAAUAGUCUAUAUCUUUAUAAUUUUUAAAGGAUUAAAUAAAAAAUUUUAUCAUUUUAGGGGACCAAAGUACAAUUUUACCAUUACUAAUUUAAAAUUCUAUAAAUUAUAAAGGGCCUAAAUGGAAAAUUUUCCAUUUUAGGGGGGCCAUCGUCUCAGGUACUGGUCUUGAAUGUUUUACCUAUAACACUCCCAUACCCAACCCAAUUGCUGAGUCAAGGCACCAGGAUAUCACAUUCGUUGCCGAAGCAACUACUGAAAAUUUUAAAUCAAUUUAUCAUAUUAUUUAAUUAAUGUAGAUCAUUAACUCAUUUUAGUAAUAACUGAAUUUAUGACAGAAAUAAUUAUGAGUUAAAGGAGCUAAUUAAAACAUCCAUAAUUGAUCAAAGACCAAAUUGUAAAGUUUAUAAAAAAAAUUGAAUUGUCGUCGCGACGUUGGGGGUUUCACGUUGUGACAUGGCAAACUUGUCGUCAUGACCUCGUCUCCAUUUUCCUACAAAUUCCACGCUUUAUUUUUAUUUAUUUAUUAUAUCAAUACCUAAAUCAUAUUCAGAUUUUAUAACCGCCACUUCAUUUUACAUACCUUCCACUUACAUCUAUUUCUAAUCUCAAGUCCUUAUAAAAACAUAGCAAUCAAUCAAAGAUAACAAAUUUUAUAAAAUUAACACAAAUAUUAAAGUUCUACAAAUAAGACCAUUGGAGGACUUGCACUUUCAAAAUUAGUUUACCCACUUUAUGUAUAUUUCAUAUUUAUUUCUAAAUUGUGCCAAUCAAUUUAAUUCGUCAUAAAAAUUUAACAUAGAUUUCAAUAUCACAUAAAUUACUAAUUAUUCACUUAUUAUUUUAUUAAUUCGUUUAAAAAUACUUACAUGUAUUAAUCAUUCCAUCGCUUACAACCAUUUCGAAACAUUUCAAAUUCUUCUACUAUAUAUAUAUAUUUCUCCACCUCCUCUCCAUUCCACAUCCUUUAUGUAUAUAUUUAUUAGAAUCUUUAGCUUUUAGUAUAUAAUUUAUUAAAAUUUUAGAAUUUAUAAUUUAGCCAAUGAGUAUAGUAAAUUCUUCAAAUUUGCCCCUGUUCUGUUGUUUGACGGCUUCCAUCUUUCUUUACUAAAAAAUAAUUAUCUCUUAGUGCGGGGUUCAGACAAUGUUUCCAUUUAUUUCUAUUGAAAAUAGACUCAUUAAUAAUUUAAAAAUAUAAAUUUAAACCCACAAUAAUUUUUUUUACAAUUUUUGAUGAUUUUCUAAAGUCAGAAUAGGGGAACCCGGAUCCACUCCGACCUUGUUUCACAAAAACUAAUAUAUCUCAAAAUAUAAAAUUCAAUUUCUUCACUGUUUCUUCCAUAUGAAACUAGACUCAAUAAGAUUUAAUUUCAUAUUUAAUUCAAUCUCUAACUAAAUUUCUAUAAUUUUUUGGUGAAUUUUAAAAGUUAAGUCACUGCUACUAUCCAAAUUGUUUUAGUGAAAAUAUUUUCUUUUCCAUGUUUCUUUGCACUAUCUUUCAUUCAAUCACACAUAAUUUCCAUACUUUUGAUUACUAUACAAUUUAAUCACUUAUGUUUAUGUGUAGAUUGCAUAUUCAUUUCCUAAUCUUAGCACUUUUCACCAUACAAAUCACAUUAUCUCUUUCUAAUUUAGUGUUUUAAGUCUCUAUUCUUCAUCAAAUACUUUCUAUUUCUAGUAUUUAGAUUAAAUACAUGUUUCAUACAUCUCAUUCAAAACAUCUUUAACUCAAUCUAUUGAAAUACAAGUAAGGUUAAUUUAAAAACUUAUAUCUUUUAGCAAGAAUUUCUUCUCUUUUGCUUUUCUUCCAUUUCAUUCUCAAUUUCAUCACUACCCUUCUCUUUCCAUCUGUUAUUCUUCACUUCCAUCUACUUGUUUCUUGCUUCUAAGUUGAUGAACAUACUCUCUAAGACCUUUACUUCCAUUUUCCGUUUUAAUGCUCAUAGAAAUUCUUAUGAUUUUGGGGUGAAAUAGUGGAAUUGAAUAAUCAAGGACCAAAUUGUAAAAGAAGGAAAUAUUUUUUUUCCUUCUAUAUACCAUUCAUGUUGGGGAGACAAGGAUGAAGAAAAUUUCAUCUUUCCUCUCUUUUUAUAGUACCAUUUUAUUAUUAGAAUAUUAUCAAAAUAUCUAAUUGAUUUAUUAUUAAUAUAUUAUUUAAAAUAUCACCAACAUCAUUAUUACAAUCCAAUGGCCCAUAUUUUAUACUUCAAGGCUAAGCAAAUCUAAUGAUCAUAAUUCAUACAUAUAUCCAAUGGCAUUUUGGUAAUUUUUAUAAAAAUGAUUUAUUUAUUAGUAUUUUGCUAAAUAACCAUUUUUGCCCUUGGCCAACUUUUAUAUUUCCAUUUAUGGCCUAUUCACUUUUGGUUAUCUUCACUUUUAGUCCAACUUUUCGAAUUUACACUUUAACCUCUCAACUUUUGAAUAUUCACACUAUGAUCCCAUCACUUUUCAUUUUUUCACAAUUUAGUCAAUACCUCAAAUUUAUAUCUCACAAUAUAAUAAUAUAUAAUAUAUUUUAUUUUAUAUUUUAUUCAUUUAUUUUUUCACCUUCUCCAUUACCUAAUACCUUCCUCUACUAACAUCGAUAUACUUUAUUUCAUUUACUCGAUAAUUUAAUUAUGCACUUUCUGAAUAUACCACUUUACAAAAUUUAGGAUGAUGAUUUUAGGGGCAUUAUAAACAUUCUUCCCUAAAUAAAAUUUUGUUCUCGAAAUUUUCUUAAUUUGAGUAACUAUAAAUUUCAUUAUUUCUUUACUUCCUUUUAUUGCCUUGAUAUCCUUUUGCCUUGUGAUCAUAUCUCUAAAAUUUCUUUAUCCCAUUAAUGUACACUUCACUUAAUCCGCAUUACAUAUAUCCUUCUAAUUUUUGACAUAAACCUUGACCUUCUAUUAUUAAACCACAAUAUACACUUCACUUAAUUCACAUUACAUCGCUAACAUAUAACUUACUAUACCACUCCAUGACCUCUAAUACCAAGUUUAGGAUAUUUUAACUUACUAAUUUCUAUUUAAAAUUAAAUAGUCUCUUCUCACUUUACUUGAUGGUCAUAGUAAACUUUAAUAGUUCAAUAAACUUAACACAUCACCUUUAGUUGUAUUAUUAAACUAAUACAUCAUUGUAUUAUUAUUAUUUUUUCAUUCAUUAUUUCUAAUAAUAGGAUUUCAAAUUAUAAUUUAAUUAAUUGAAUUUCGUAUUUCAUUUUUCUCUAACAUCCAUUAUCCUUUACUUUCUUUACAUCUUAUUUCAAGAAGAAUCUAUCUCACAUUAUUUUUUACAAGGGGGUUUUGAGGAUGUUACAUUAUCGAUGGCUAUGGUCCUGCAUUUGUUGUGGAUUCUUCAUAGCUCGUAUGAGUAGCAUCAUGUAAAGUUACCAUCCCGACCCUUAACUUGUGUGAGCAGAUCCAUAUUUAUAACUCGUGUGAGCAUUAUAUUCAUAGCUCGUGUGAGCCUUUUUAUCUCGUGUAUCCGACGUUAGUUUACUAUAGCUCAACGAGUGAAAAUAGGGUUUAUUAAAUGGAAAUGAUGGUACAAAUGAAUAACAAAGUAAUUAGUCUUAAAUGAGCCAUGUAUGUUAGCUUCGUAUAUGGUAUAAAGGCAUAAAUCAUGUUUUAUAUUCAAUUGUGAAGAAACUAACCUUACUGGGUUUGUGGUGUGCAUAAGAUAUCAAAUAAUGCCAUUUUUCCUAAUUAUAUAGUUAUGUGUUCAAUGCUUAAUUUAUAUUAACACCGGUAAGUUACGUUAAAUUCUGUACAAAAUUACUAAGCAGUGUGUAUGCUUACAUUUUCUAUGUUUGUUUUCUUGUAGAUAAUUGAAAAUUACGUGGUCAGUUGGAAAUUAAGUCGGAGCUCACAUUAUCCGUUCAACGACUUGGUAGAUUUUUGAUCAUUUUGGGAUAGGGUAUAAGUGGCAUGUAAAUAGGUGUUUUGGUUACAAAUGUGUAUUCGUAAGUUUGUGUUUUGAAAUGGUUACAUGAAUGUUAAAAUGAUAUUUAAUGUUAAGCUUCAAGAUGGGUGCCAUGUUUUGAUAUAAAUUGGUAAAUACGUUUUGGUCAUUUGGUGAACUUUGCUUGAUGUCAUAUUGGUAUUUCAAAUGAUGAUCAUAUGAAAAUGUUUAGGUAUGAGAAUUGUGAUAUGAAUAAUGAUGAAUGCUUGAAUGUAAAUGGUUGAAUUGAGGUGUCAUUUGUGGCAUAUUGGUUAGGCACUUAGGAUGAAUGAUUUAAGUUGUGCUUUGGCAUAUUUUUAAUGUUUUUGAAUAGGUUGAGGGAUGGUUUAAUGCUUGCUUGUGGUUCAAGUGAACUAGGGCUAUGUAUCUUGUUUGAAAAGGUUCUAUUAGGUAUACACAGUCUAACAUAUGGUCAUAUGUCACACAUGGGCAUGUGGCAUGGCCGUGUGGUCUGAUGUUUUGGGUAAUGAUUGAUGUACACAACCUCAGUGAGUUACACAGUCUGGGUACACGAUUGUGUGACUCCAACUUACACCGCCUUAGCCUGUUACACGAUUCAGGACACGGUCGUGUGACCUUUAUUAGAAAUUUUGCAUUUAGGUCCACACAACUUCAGUCUAUUACAUGGCCUGUCGACAUGGUUGUAUGACCUUAUUAUACAUGGUAUCAGUUUGUCACACGGUCUAACCACAUGGCCAUGUGACCCUUAUUUAUUGAAAUUUUCAUACUUUUUGUAAAUUUUAUGAUUACGUCCUUACAUAUUCUCGAGUUCGUUUAAAGGCUUUCGUAAGUUCGUUUGAGACCCGAAUUGAAUAUGAAUGCUAUGAAACAUGAUCGAUGGAGGUGUUUACAUGAAAUCUUGCAAGUUAUGUAUAUAUAAGAAUUUUGUAUGUUUUGUUUUUUGUCGUAGCAUCUUAUAGCUCGGGUUCAAUGACUAGGUCGGGUUAGGGGUGUUACUAUUGGGAAAUGUGCCUAUAUUGUGGUAAACAUGUAACUAUUUUCUAUUUAUUUUAACGAUAAAUAAAUAAAUAAAGUUAAUUUCACAUUUCACUAUUAUAUCUUUUGUAUUUUCUAUCUUUUAUAUUUUGCAUGCAUAGCGAAAUUGUGACAAUCAAAUAUUAGCUCAUUGAUUGUCUAAAGUUCAAACUGAAGAUAAGUGGCAUUGUAAAGAACGUUUACAUUACAAGAAUUACAACUUACUUCAGUAGAUAAUCUAAAUGAGUCUGUAAUCUCGUAAAAGAAUCAAAGUGAGCAUUUGAUUCAAAAUGCUAAGAAGGAUUAUUAUGUCGUCUACAAUUUCAAUUGGGGAGAUGGCUAGUCUUGGCUACCGGAGCAGUUGAUCUACGAGUAGAGACAUAGAUGUAUUCAUUGGUAGAAUGAUAUAUUGGACUGGACCCAAGAUGAAUUAAUUCUGAAUCCAUUUGUGAAUUAAUUCAUUUGUGACAUUCAUGGUGUGAUUUACCUAAAUCCUAAGUUAGUCACUGACUAUGCGUAUGCUACUCAUGUGCUUUGGUAUAAAUGGAGGCUUAUACUUUAAAGAUGAUCAAACCUAUAGUUGGUAUGUUGGGUACAUAACUUGUGUAUGACAUGGCUUUACUAGCAACAGUGGAAUUCAUAGCUCAAUUAAAGAGUUAAUGAUAUUAUCUUAAUGGAAUUGUGUGGAUUAAUAAAUAUAGAAUGCGGCCACGAGUUGCUUGUUCUCGAACGAGUAAUUUAUCACAAUCAUUUGUUGACAGUAAUCAUAUUAAUCAUUAAGAGGACAUAAUGUUGACAAUGAGAUAAAAUAUGAUUAUAUUGAGUGAAUGAAUUUAACUCAAAGGAAUCAAGGAUAUCAUAUGAGAGUAACACUCACAUGAUGAGGUCAUUGGACAAAUCAAUUGGAUGAAUUGCUUUUGUAAAGAGUAUGCAAUAAUGAAUUUUCAAUCAUGGUACUUCUUGUGGACUGACUCCAUGAUUAUGUAAUUGCGAAUUAUCAAAGCGAUGUUUCUAGACAUAAUUGCAAUGACUAGAGCCUAAUUGUAUAUGUCUGAUUAGUCCCUCCGCUAGUUCAACAAAAGCUCGAUUGGACUGUAUUUGAAUCAGAAGAAAAUUCUAUGACUUCGGGAAUAAUUUAAUUGAGUCGAUUUAUUCGAUGUGGAAUUAAAUUAGGUAGUCAUAAGAAUUGUUCAACUAGAGGAUUUGAUUAAAGAAUUUUCUUGAAAAAUUAAUUUGACAAAUCUAAGUGAUUUUUGGAAAAAUUAAUUUCGAUCAAGUAAAAUUAAAUUAAUCAAAUCAAUUAAAUUAAUAUGAUAUUUUUGAAAGUUAAUUUUCAAGUCAGACAAGUGGCCCAAUGGGUACUUGAACUUGAAAAUUGGAUAUGAGAUUGUAAAUUGGGUUUAGGAGCCCAAAAUCAAGAACAAGAUCCAAAAAUUGGUCGAACCGGGCCCGGUAUAUGAAACCGGGCUGACGGUCCAACCGGUGGUUAAAUCGAACCAGUCGGGUCAUCGUUGACCUGGACCGAAACUGCUCGGGGUGUUGGAAGGGUGUUGCACCUUUAUCACUGGACAUGGCAGUGUCAGUUGCUGUGACGUCCCGGUGGCCGGCGACAGUUGGUUGUCUGUGGUUGAACAGUGGAAGAGUUACGUUCUUACUGGAAUUCCACCUGAGAAUUUGAUUUCAGAUUAAUUAUUUCAAGAAUAAUAUUACUUUAAUAGUUUAAUAUUAAAUUUUAUUUAAUUUUUUUAUCUAAAUAGUAUUUUAUUAAUUUAAUUUUAAAGUUAUUAUCUUAAUAUUAAAUUUAAUUUAAUUUUUAUCUUGUAGAUAAACAUUUUAUUAUUUUAAUAAGAUUUAAUAUUAAAUUUAAUCCAAUAUUUAUCUUAAUAAAUAUUAUAUUAAUUUAAUAUUAAAGUGAUUAAGUUUAAUCAUAAUUGAACUCUGUAAUCUCUCCCUAUAUAAAAGGAGCAUUGGGUUAUUAUUUACACACACUUGAAUUGAAAAGAAAGUUGUAGAGAGAAAAUUCUCUGAAGAGAUUAUUCCAGAAAAUUUCUAGAGUUAUUUUCUUGAUUUACAACUUGACCCAAAAGUUUAUAGAAAUUUCAAUCCCACUGAUAAUUUUUGUGCAAAACUUCCUCAUUCGAAGCGAGCUCACACUUGGCAGACGUGAGCUUGAGGAUAGCGGAGAAGACUACUCGGUCGAAGCGCUAAUUCUAGACGAAUUGAAAAGGUAAAAUUGUUAUUAAGUGUUGAUUAAUUUAUAUAUCACAACUAAGAUCUUGUUUUGGAAAGUUUUUUAAAACUUUGGUUUUUCCCUAAAUUUAUUGUCCGUUGCGUUUUCCAAACUCGUUUUUCCAACAGUUACACCCUCAUUUAUUGUAGAGAAAAACUCUCAUUUGAGGAUGUGAAAGGAAACUUGUUGAGAAAAUACAAACUUGAGAAUGAGUUAGGUUCAAAUAGCAAGUCAUAUGGGCAAGUGUAACACCCUUAACCCUUAACCGUCACCGGAAUAGGGUUACGGAGCAUUACUAGACUUUUUAGACCAAUUACGAACAUUUCAUAUCACUUAAUGCACAUAUCAAAAACCAAUCACAAUUCACUUACAUUGUCCCUUAUAUGAGCCCUCGAGGCCCAAAAUAUGCAUUAGAAACAAGUCGGGACUAAACCGGAAACUUAGAGAAUUUUUCUCAAAAUUUCAAAAUUUUGUCUAGGUGUAGGGGAUACACACCCGUGUGACUCACAUGUCCAAGCGACACACUCGUGUCUUAAACCGUGUGAGCAUUCGAUAUGAGGCACACGGUCGUGUCCCAGCCUGUGUACAUAGUUGUGUAACUCUCUAACUUGGGUCACACGGCCAAGUCACAAGCCCGUGUGGUAGGCCUGUGUAAGGUGCAAGGGUCACACGGCUGUAUGCAAAAACCUGGGCAUUCUGUUUCUCAAUUUUAAGACACAGGGGACACACGGCUAGAACACAUGCCCACGUGCUAGGUCGUGUGUCACACAGGGCUGAGACACACGCCCGUGUCUCUUCCUGUAUGGACAAAAAUAGGCCAUUCUAAUGCCACUUUUCUCACCCAUUAUGUUAUCAACCUAUACACAACAUUUCAAAACAUCAAUACAUCCGAAACAAACAAUUAACACAAGCCAAAAUCAUGUUUUAAGCAUAACAUAACAUAACAUCACAAAUACUCAAUCACUUAACUUUACCUAUUUAAUCCAUCUCAUUGAUUUAUCAAAAUCUAUUUCUAUUUAUAUAUAUACAAGCAUAUAACAUUCAUAGCCAUAUUUUUAAGUAUUUCAUUUCCACACCAACCCUAUACAUGCCAUAUAAACCAAAAUAUACGUUGCAAAAGCUACCAGAUAAGCUGGAUAGUGUGACUUGAUGUGCUGAUCCAAUCUCCCGACCUCACGUUACUCUACAAGAACAUUAAACAACACAAGUAAGCUUAAUGAAGCUUAGUAAGUUCAAUAGGUUAAACAUAAAUCUUUCCCUACAUAUUAUGACAAAUUAUUUAAGUAAAUCAUUCAAUGUACAUUUCCUGCCAAUCACAACUUUAAUUGAUGAAUUCAUUUAUCUUAGAUCAAUACCAAUCGUACCAAUAAGUCUUAAAACAUUAAUUUCAUACGUCACUUACCAAUCCUUGCUAAAUCGGAGAAAGGCUUAUAGAUAUGAGCACAUCAUAUUCAGAAGCUCAAAGGCUGCACAGAAGCAUAUAAGUGCUAAACAGGAACCCGUAAGGGUUAAACGAAAGCUCAUACCGGUUGAAUGGAAACCUAUAAGGGUUAAACUGAAGCUCAAAAAAGUUGAACGAAAACCCAUAAGGGUUAAACAGAAACUCAUAUGAGUUAACAGAAGCUCGUGCGAGCUAAAUGGAAAGUAAACAUGAAUGUUCGCAACAAAUGUUGAACCUUGGUUUACUUAGGUAAUUUGCCAUCAAUUCAUCAUUUGCAUUUACCAUCAAUUCAUCAUUUGCCACAGAACGAUUGUACUUAAUCCGGCGUUCCAUUCGUUUUGAAAAAUCAAUUCAAUUUCAUAAUUUAAAAAUAAUUUUAUUUUCAACAAUAAAUAUGAAUAAUUACAUAAUACCAUUCAUCAAUUUAAUAAAUAAAUAUUAAAGUUUUACCAUACGAACUUACCUAGAUUUAAUUGUAAGAUUUGUAGUAGUUCAAAGACUAUUAUGCUAAUUUCCCCUUUUCACGAUUAUCUACGAGCUUUUGAUCUAAAAUAUAAAAUUAUUCAAUCAUUAGCAUAUAUUUCAGUUUUAAUUCACUUCAAAAUUAAUACCCCUCAUUUUUUAAUUUACACAAUUACCCUAACUUUUAUAGUUUUUUACAAUUUAGUCCCUCACCAAUUAGUCUAUCAAAUGAGCUAACCUUUAUCAAUUGACAAUUUAUAUAAAUAUUCUAAGCUAUCAUAUAGCCUUUGAUCAACAAAAUUGUAAUAUCAAACCCUAAUACUUAAUCUUUUCACAAUUUGGUCCUAAAAUCAAUAUCUAUUGAAAUCACUAAAUAAAAUCAUCAUAUAACAAAAUUAAAGCUCUAAAUUCAUGUUAAUUCAUCACAAACGUUCAUUAUUCAUCAAUGGUAACUUUCAAAAUUACCCAUAAAAUAAAAAACUAAUGAAAUAGAUACUUGGACCUAAUUGUAAAAGUUUAGAAACACAAAAAUUUCAAGAAAAGAACAAGAAUUAAACUUACUUGAAACAAAAAUAAGAAAAACCAGCUUAAGACUCUCCUAUGGCAUUUUGAUUAGACAGUUGUUGAAGAAAUUGUCUAGAAUUCUCUUUUAAUUUCAAUUUGUUUAUUUAAUUUUACAAAAGUUCCCAUUUUGCCCUUAGGUCACACUUAAUUUGUUAUUUCUUGUACACAUAUGCCGCCUCAGCCACCUAUUAUAGGCUUAUUUACCUUUCAAGUCCUCUAUCAUUUAACAUGUAAUCCAUUUAAUCACUAUUUCUUUAAUUAACAUGUAAUCAAAACGUUAAAAUUUUCUAACGGAACUUUAAUACUACCUUAAUGACACUCUGUAAAUAUUUAUAAAAAUAUUUAUAGUUCUGUUUAUAAAAUCGAGGUCUCGAUACCUUGUUUUCUAAAUCACUUAACUUAAUAAUUUCUUAUAACACACUAAUUACUAUUUCAAAAGUUCUCCUAAAGUCACAUUUGGCACCUAAGUACUAAAUAAUAAAAUUCACGAGCGUACUCAUCAGAUUUGGUAGUCUCGAACCAUUAUUUUUGAUGCCACUGAAAAUCGGGCUAUUACAACUCUCUCCCCUUUAGGAAAUUUCAUCAUCAAAAUUUGUUACCUGAGAAUAGAUUCAGAUAGUGUGAUCUCAUCAAUUCUUCUGUUUCCCAAGUAGGAUCCUCCAAACCAUGACGAGGCCACAAUACUUUAACUAAGGUACUUGUUUAUUUCGUAAUUCUUUAACCUCUCGAGUCAAAAUUCUUAUCGGUUCUUCCAAAUACGUCAUAUCUGGUUGUAGCUCAAUUUCACUAUGAAGAAUCACGCGUGAAGGAUCAGAUCUAUACCGUCUCAGUAACGAUACGGGAAACACAUUAUGAAUCUUUUCAAGUUCAGGAGGCAAAGCUAAUCUAUAAGCUACCAGUUUGAUUCUUUUGAUAAUUUCAUACAGUCCGAUAAAUCUUGGGCUUAACUUUCCUUUCCUACUGAAUCGUAACACCUUCUUCCAUAGAGAGACUUUUAAGAACACUCGAUCACCAACCGCAAAUUCUCUAUCUCUUCUUUUCAAAUCUGCAUAUGAUUUCUGACGACCAAAAGUAGCUUUAAAACUGUCCCAGAUGAUUCAAACUUUAUCUUCAGUUUCUCGGAUCAAGUCAACCCCCACUAGCUUAGAUUUACUCAAUUUAGUCUAAUACAAUGGUGUCUUACAUUUCCUCCCGCAAAGACCUUCAAAUGGUGCCAUUUUUAUACUGGAUUGAUAAUUGUUGCUAUAUGGAAAUUUAUCCAAUGGUAAAUACCUAUCCUAACUACCACCAAACUUGAGCAUACAACAUCUCAACAUCUCAACAUAUCUUCUAGAAUCUGAAUUACUCGUUCUGAUUGCCUGUCAGUCUGAGGAUGGAACACUAUACUGAAAUUUAGCUUUGUACCCAGAGCCUCUUGCAGUUUACUCCAAAAUCUCGAAAUGAAUCUCGGAUCUCGAUCAGAAAUAAUGGAUAUCGAAACCCCAUUUAACUUAACAAUCUUUUCUAUAUACAAUUCCGCUAACUUCUCAAGUGAAAAGUCUGUUCUAACUGGUAUAAAAUGUGCUAACUUAGUCAAUCUGUCAACAAUCACCCAGAUCGAAUCUUUCUUUCUUAGAGUCACAAGUAAUCCGAAUACAAAAUCUAUCGUGACAUGCUCCCACUUCCACUUAGGAAUCAUGUCAGGUUGUAACAAACCUGUUGGUACUUGAUGUUCUACUUUGAUUUGCUGACAAAUCAAAUACAUCCGUUUCAAAUCAUAAUACGUCUUUGUACUACCCUGAUGAAUGGAGUACAUACUACCGUGAGCUUCAGAAAGAAUAUCAUUUUUCAAAUUCGAAUUAUUCGAAACACAAAUUCUAUUACGAUAACGUAGCAUACCACUAUCAUUAACGCUAAAUUCUGAACUCAGAUUGUUCUGAACCAUCUGUCGUUUCAACACCAAUUUCAAAACCUCGUCUUGCAAUUUCAGAAUCCGUUAAAGAAACAAGGUUUCAUUUUCAGCUCUCCUAAUACAGGACCAUCUUCAUUAAUAGUUAAAUGAGCGUUCAAUGCUCGAAGUGCGAACAAGGAGGACUUUCAACUGAGUGCAUCCGCAACCAUAUUAGCCUUUCCUGGGUGGUAGUCAAUAACCAGAUCAUAAUCUUUCAGUAAAUCUAGCCAUCGUUUCUAUCUUAAAUUCAGUUCUUUCUGAGUCAUCGAAUACUUCAAACUUGUAUGACUUGUAAACACGUAACAUUUAUCACCGUAUAAAAAAUGUCUCCAAAUCUUCAAAGCAAAUACGAUUGCAACCAAUUCAAGAUCAUGUGUAGGAUAAUUCUUAUCAUGCAAUUUUAACUGUCGAGAAGCAUAGACCACUACUUUUCUUGACUGCAUCAGUACACAACCUAAUCCAUUUAGAGACGCAUCACUAAAAAACAUACGGUACACCCGAUUCUGGUUAAGUCAAGACUGGAGCUUCUGUUAACAUUUUCUUCAACUGAUCAAAGCUCUGCUAACACUCAUCAGACCAAAUAAAUUCAACAUUUUUCUACAAUAAUCGAGUCAAUGGUGAAGCAAUCACUGAAAAGUUCUUGACAAAACGUCAGUAAUAACCUGCUAGACCCAGAAAAAUUUGCAUUCCAGAAACAUUCUUUGGAGUUUUCCAAUUCACCACUGCAGAUACUUUGCUCGGAUCCACUCGAAUCCCUUCAACUGAUACAAUAUGAACCAAAAAUCUGACCUCGUGAAGCCAGAAUUCAAAUUUGUUAAACUUUACAUACAAAUGCUUUUCUCUCAAAGUCUGUAGCACAACUCUCAAAUGUUGUGCAUGCUCGAAUUCUGUUUUGGAAUCUAUCAGUAUAUCAUCGAUAAACACAACCACAAAUCUAUCUAAAUAAGGUUAAAAAAAUCUGAUUCAUCAAAUCCAUGAAAGCAGUAAGGGCAUUAAUCAAGCCAAAUGGCAUUACCAAAAAUUGAUAAUGGCCGUAUCGAGUUAUGAAAGCAGUUUUUGGCACAUCACACUCUUUGACCUUCAACUGAUAAUACCCGAAUCUAAGGUCUAUCUUCGAAAACACCGCAGCACCUUUGAAUUGGUCAAAUAAGUUAUCAAUAUGAGGCAAAAGAUAUUUAUUUUUAAUUGUAACCUUGUUCAACUGUCUGUAAUCUAUACACAGUCUCAAAGUACCGUAUUUCUUUUUCACAAAUAAUACAGGUGCACCCUAGGGAGACAUGCUUGGUCUGAUAAACCCUCGGUCUAAUAACACUUGGAACUAAGCCUUUAAUUUGUUUAAUUCAGUUGGUGUCAUACGGUAUGGUGCUACUGAGAUCAAAGCUGUUUUUAGAACCACAUCAAUCACAAACUCAACUUCACGAUCAAGUGGUAAACUCAACAAUUCCUCAGGAAAUUCAUCAGCAAACUCACUAAGAAUUGGUAAUUGUUCUAGUUUUGAUUCUGAACCCCGAGUAUAAAAAAUGUAGGCUAAAAAUGCCUCAUUACCAUUUCGCAUUAAUCUCUGAGAAAAAAAACUGAAAUAACUUUAACAAUAUCUUUCGAAUUCUCAGACUCAACUGAUAUCAUCUCUCCUGUCUAACAUUUCAAAUCAAUCUAUUUCUUUCUAUAAUUUAUUAUAGCAUCAUGCUUCGUUAACCAAUCCAUUUUCAGAAUAUUAUCAAAUUCCCGAAAAGGUAGUAACAUCAAAUCCGCAGGGAAUUCACAGUCUUUCAUUUUCAGCGGACAAUCACAACACAAUAAAUUAACUAUUACACUUUGGCCUAAUGGAUUAGUGACUUGAAUAUCAUAAUCGGUAGGUUCAACAAACAAUUUCUUUUCUGAUACUAAUACAGUGCAAAUAUAAGAAUGUGCAGGCCCACGGCCAAUCAAUGCAUAUACAGUAACAUAGAAAAGAUAGAAUGUACCGGAAAUUACGUCUAGAGCCGUAGCUCAUUCUCUUGCUCGGAUGGCAUAAGUACGUGCAAGCGCCCUAGCCUCUGACCGGGUAGCAAAAUCCUUCAUACCCAAAUGAGCAGUUCCAGUAGCACUAUUUUGGCCCAAACGUCUACUUCGUUGAGAAGUGGCCAACUGCUUCUCUUUCUUCUCUUUAUUUUCUUUUUGCAAUUGAUGACAGUUUCGAAUGAAAUGAUCAAUUGCUCUGCAUUUAUAACAAGCCCCCACUUUACUUUUACAUUCACCGAGGGGUAUUUCCCACAAUACUUGCAUUUAGGCUUGGGAGAAUUUUGCACACUACCCAUACUUGCAGUGGGUCUAAUAGAUACCCUGUAAUCAGGUUGAGUCAUCUUAGUUUUAUUUGAUCUUUCACACAUUGAGGUGGCUCGACUGAAAUCAUCUCUAGUAUUUUUAGCCGGUAAUGCUGAAAAGGAUUUGAAUAAACUUCUUUUGUAAUAUUCUUUAUUCUGUCUAUCUCGUUGCAUUUUUCUAUUGUACACCUCUUCCAUCUUUUGUGCACAAUCUGACAGAACGACAAAUUCUCGUAUUUUAGUACCCCCAAUCAUCAUUUUGAUUUCAUCAUUCACCCCUUCAAACCGAAUGCACAUUUCUUCUUCGGUUGGUACAAUUUCCCGGGCAUAUUAGCUGAGGUAUACAAAUUCUCUUUCGUACUCAGCUACCGAUCUAUUUCCUUGACGCAAGUCAAGAAAUUCUCUCUUCUUUUUGUAUAGAUACCUUUUGCCAACACAUUUCUUUUUAAAUUCACUCUAAAAGAAUUUCCAAUUAUUUUCUCUUUCGGUACUCAACCACUAUAGUCGACCACCAGUUAUAUGCUUCUUCUUCCAGUAAGGAAACAAUACAUCUCAGAUAAUCAUCGGGAGAACAAGCUAUUUCUUCAAAAACUCUUACUGUAUUCUGAAGCCAAUAUUCAGCUUUGACUCGGUCAUCAUCUGACCUACCCCGAAAUUCUUCGGCCCCACACUUUUUGAGUUUUUCUAUCAGAGUACAUUUACUGGAUUCAGUUAUUGGAGGAGGGAAAGGUGCAACUGGCGGCACUACAGGUGGCACAGUAGGGGGAGAAGGUUGUUGAGUCAGAUAUCUCUCUUGCAUGAAUUCACUAAACCAUUGAUUCACCACCCAAAUAACAUAUUUUUAAGUUCUUGUUCUUGAGCCAAACGAAUUGGGACGUUACUACUUGUCCCAUGUUCAGAUGUCUGUACCUUACUAUUGGCCUCAUCAUGAUUAGCAUGUUCAUAUUUAUCUGACAUCUUUAUAAUCUAUAAGAAAAAAAGAGUUAGAUCGGAUUAUACACAUCACACUAUCACAGAUUUAUAUGGCAUGUAUUUCUAAACAUUUUACACACUACGUUCAUUCCACGAGUUGGCUAAAUCGAAGCUCUAAUACCACUAAAAAGUAACACCCCUAACCCUUAACUGUCGCCAAAACAGGGCUAUAGAGCAUUACCGAACUUUUCUAACCAAUUACAAACAUUUCAUAUCAUUUAAUACACAUAUCAGAAACCAAUCACAAUUUACUCACAUUGUCCCUUAUAUGAGCCCUCGAGGCCCAAAAUAUGUAUUAGAAACAAGUCGAGACUAAACCGGAAACUCAGAGAAUUUUUCUCAACAUUUCAAAAUUUUGUCUAGGUGUAGGGGACACACGCCCAAUAGACAUGCCCGUGUCCAUACCCGUGUCUAUCUCAUUGGUUUAUCAAAAUCUACUUCUAUUUAUAUAUAUACAAGCAUAUAACAUUCAUAACCAUAUUUUUAAGUACUUCAUUUCCACACCAACCCUAUACAUUCCAUAUAAACCAAAAUAUACGUUGCAAAAGCUACCGGAUAAGCUGGAUAGUGUGACUUGAUGUGCUGAUCCAAUCUCUCGACCUCAUGUUAAUCUACAAGAACAUUAAUCAACACAAGUAAGCUUAAUGAAGCUUAGUAAGUUCAAUAGGUUAAACAUAAAUCUUACCGUACAUAUUAUAACAAAUUAUUUAAGUAAAUCAUUCAAUAUACAUUUCCUGCCAAUCACAACUUUAAUUGAUGAAUUCACUUAUCUUAGAUCAAUACCAAUCAUAACAUUAAGUCUUAAAAAAUUAAUUUCAUACGUCACUUACCAAUCCUUGCUAAAUCGGAGAAAGACUUACAGAUAUGAGUACAUCAUAUUCAGAAGCUCAAAGGCUGCACAGAAGCACAUAAGUGCUAAACAGAAACCCGUAAGGGUUAAACGGAAGCUCAUAGCAACUGAAUGGAAACCUAUAAGGGUUAAACUGAAGCUCAAAAGAGUUGAACAGAAACCCAUAAGGGUUAAAAAGAAACUCAUAUGAGUUAACAGAAGCUCAUGCGAGCGAAAUGGAAAGUAAACAUGAAUGUUCGCAACACAUACUGAACCUUGGUGUACUUAGGUAAUUUUCCAUCAAUUCAUCAUUUGCAUUUACCAUCAAUUCAUCCUUUGCCACAGAACGAUUGUACUUAAUCUUACGUUCCACUCGUUUUGAACAAUCAAUUCAAUUUCAUAAUUUAAAAAUAAUUUUAUUUUGAAAAAUAAAUAUGAAUAAUUACAUAAUACCAUUCAUCAAUUUAAUAAAUAAAUAUUAAAGUUUAACCAUACGAACUUACCUAGAUUUAAUUGUAAGAUUUGUAGUAGUUCAAAGACUAUUAUGCUAAUUUCCUCUUUUCACGAUUAUCUACGAGCUUUUGAUCUAAAAUAUAAAAUUAUUCAUUCAUUAGCAUAUAUUUCAGUUUUAAUUCACUUCAAAAUUAAUACCCCUCAAUUUUUUCAUUUACACAAUUACCCCAAAUUUUAUAGUUUUUUACAAUUUAGUCCCUCACCAAUUAGUCUAUCAAAUGAGCUAGCCUUUAUCAAUUGACAAUUUAUCUAAAUAUUCUAAGCUAUCAUAUAGCCUUUGAUCAAAAAAAUUGUAAUAUCAAACCCUAGUACUUAAUCUUUUCACAAUUUGGUCCUAAAAUCAACAUCUAUUGAAAUCACUAAAUAAAAUCAUCAUAUAACAAAAUUAAAGCUCUAAAUUCAUGUUAAUUAAUCACAAACGUUCAUUAUUCAUCAAUGGUAACUUUCAAAAUUACCCAUAAAAUCAAAAACUAAUGAAAUAGAUACUUGGACCUAAUUGUAAAAGUCUUAGAAACACAAAAAUUUCAAGAAAAGAACAAGAAUUAAACUUACUUGAAACAAAAAUAAGAAAAACCAGCUUAAGGCUCUCCUAUGGCAUUUUGAUUAGACAAUUGUUGAAGAAAUUGUCUAGGAUUCUCUUUUAAUUUCAAUUUGUUUAUUGAAUUUUACAAAAGUUCCCAUUUUGCCCUUAGUUCACACUUAAUUUGUUAUUUCUUAUACACAUAUGCCGCCUCAGCCACCUAUUAUAGGCUUAUUUACCCUUCAAGUCCUCUCUCAUUUAACAUGUAAUCCAUUUAAUCACUAUUUCUUUAAUUAACAAGUUUUGGACCUUUUUCAUUUUUGUCCUUUUUAUUUAAUUAACUGUCAAAACGUUAAAAUUUUCUAACGGAACUUUAAUACUACCUUAAUGGCACUCUGUAAAUAUUUAUAAAAAUAUUUACGGUUCUGUUUAUAAUAUCGAGGUCUCGAUACCUCGUUUUCUAAAUCACUUAACUUAAUAAUUUCUUAUAACACACUAAUUACUAUUUCAAAAAUUCUCCUAAAAUCACAUUUGGCUCGUAAGUACUAAAUAAUAAAAUUCAUGAGCUUACUCAUCAGGUUUGGUAGUCUCGAACCACUAUUUCUGAUGCCACUAAAAAUCGGGCUGUUACAGUAAACCUAAGUUUUGGUUGGGAGAAGUAAGACUGGAUCGAAGUCGAGGAAUUCAGACAAGACAUGUGGCUACUGCACGAGGUUAGUUCACAUUAAGGAAGAGUGUUAUAAGAUGCAAAAUAAGAACAUGAGGGUUUUUUAGAGCAACGAGAAAGGAAAGCAAAAGGUUGAGGUAGCCGAUGCUAGUGUGGCCGAGGACAAGUGUGGCCGAGGACAAGUGUGAUGAAUGGUUGUUGGUGUCUACGACUGAAAAGUCUAAGCUUAUUUCUGAGUGAAUCCUGAAUUUUGGGGUGUUCUUACCAUAUGUGUCCCAACAAGGACUGGUUCUCCACAAAUAUUCCAGUUGAAGAUGUAGUUGUGCACAUGGGGAAUAAUUAGGACACUGUCAGGUGUCAGACAUGUGUUUGAUUUACAGAAAAACCUGAUCUCCCUACAUAUGUUAGACUCGAAACGAUUUUAGAAUGGUCAUCAAAUCAAGCAGCAUUAAGGUAUUUCGUGGAGCUCUUGUUUUGAUGAAAGCUUAGAAAACCGACAGUUUAUACAUUCUUGAGGGUUCAACAGUGACUGACACAACAACAAUUUCCUCGUCUGUUACAGAGUUGGAGUCAACUCGGUUGUGGCAUAUACAACUUGGUUAUAUGAGCGAGAAAGGUAUGAACAUAGUGAAUAAGAGUCAUAUAGUUUUCAAGUUCAAGCACUGCUUGGAUUUGUAGUAUCCUGGAAAAAUCAAAUUAGGCCAAUAACGGGGUCUGACAAAGAAGGCAUAUCAAAAUACGAGUCAAGGUGGAGAUUUUUAGGGUGUGUCUCACAUUUUUUGGUUAAACUAGAGUCAAACUAGGGGUAAUAUCAUGACAAGGAAUCACACGACGUCACAAGUACUUGAUGAUGUCCGAAACAAGACAAAUUAAAGGUGAUGUCACUGCGAGGAGCCUAGGACGUCGCAACGACAUGACAAAUUCUAUUUCAAAGUAGCUGCCUAAUUAGACUUUUAGUAGUGUUACUUUUCUGAAUUAAACUUUGAUUAGGGGUGAGCAUUCAAUCGAUUUGAGUCAAAAAAUUUUUGAGUUAGUCGAGUUGACGAAUCAUAUUUUAGCAAUCGAACUUAAUUUAAAUUUUUUUUUAAAUCGAGCAAAAAAAUUUCGAGUCGAGUUAAUGAAUCCUAUUUUUUAUACUCAAUGUUGCGUUUACAAGGACUUGUUAUUUAACUAGUAGAUAAAGUACAAGAUUAUUUAACUACAUAAACAAUAUAAUUUACUUAAUAAUUACAUGUAAAGAACUAUUUUAGGCAUGCAAAGUAAGUAACUAUAGAUAAUGUUGCAAGACGAUCCUUGCGGCCAUACUUUGAGUCAACUAUAUAAGCUAUAACACCACAUGCAUAAUUAUAUUUAUAUAGCGCAUAGUUAUGCGUUAAGAACUCCUCUGUAUACAAGAUAACAAAAUGAUAUACCAAAAGUAUGAUAUAAGGGCACAUGCCACUACUAUACAAAAUAUGAUAUAACAAAAUGAUACAUCAAAAGUAUGAUAUAGAUGGUGUGACGCUCCAAGACUCGAGUUCAACAAAAUAGGUCCAAGCUUCCUACACAAAAAAAAUCAAGAGUCUAACCAAUUAUUUUGACCAAACCAAAGCAAAUGUAAUGUUGAAGUUUCCAUAAACGUUAACAAAAAAUCUAUUCCAAAAAGUUAAAAUCAAACUAUCUUCAAGCUUUAUCUUCUUCAAACAUUGUAGAUAGUACUGACAAUUCUGUAACAAAAGUAAAAAUGUAUUCUUAAAUUAUGAAAAUCUUUACUAGAAAAAUUAAAAUAAACAUUCAAUUUUGUGAUUUGUAGCUAAGUAUGUUACCAUCUUCAUGUUUUGAUAACUUUGACAAUUCUAAUAAAUAUCAAAAGUGAAAAAUAUUAGUUAAAUUGCGAGAAUGUUCCUCCAUAUAUCAUCAUCUAUAUUUUGAAGUUCCUCCAUAUACUCCUCAAGUUGAUAGAAUCUUUUGAUCUUCGAAGCCAAUCUUGUGUGCAAACCAAAGCCUAAACCAUAGAAAGACUCAAAGAACUUCUAAAAUCACCUAGAACAUGUCCACUCUUGAAGCACUUUUAGAUGUAACAAUUGAGAUAGAAAUGAAUAACACAUCUCGAGCCAUUUGCGCAAUAAUUGGGAAUCUUGGACUAUUAACUUUCUACCACAAUAACAGAUCAAGUGAAUCUGAAUUAUUUUCAUCAUCUUCUCCCAAAUAUCUAUCCAACUCAGAUUUACUUUCCAAGCCAACAUGUUACUUUUUCUUCAUAUAUUGUUGCACGACUAAGCUUGUCUUCGGUUUUACUUGAUCUAUUUCAUAUUCACUUGAACUUGGGGCUUUAGUGGGAUAAUUAGAUUCAACUUUAAAGUUCAUGUGACAGUUUCCCUAAAAAAUUUAUAGAAUAUUCAGUAAACAAACCAUGCAAUUCUCUAUUGACCAUCAUUAUAAUGUCAUCUACAAUAAUAAGAAAAAGCAAGUUAACUCUAAAUGCAUGAAAAUUCAUUUUGCGUCGUGGGUCAAAGAUAACUUCUAGAUAAAUAAGCAAGUUCAUUAAUUUUGAAUCACCUCAGUACUUUUUGUACUUGUCAUUCAUUUUUAAAACCAUAGAUGUAACAACCCAUUUUCAAUGGUGUCGAAAAUAGUGGUUUCGAGACCACAAUUCCAACUAAUGGUUUAGGUAAGUUCGUAUAUUGAUUAAGCUUAUUAAUUUUUUUGGUGAAAUUUUGAUUAAUAUUUGUGUUAUGUAUAACUUAAAAUGAUUGUUAAGUGAUAAUUAGUGAUUUGGAUUAAAUUAUAAUGUUAGCUAAAUUGAAGGCUAUGAUUGAAAAUAGGAAAUUACAUGGAUAAGUACUUGUGAUGAAAUAAUGUGUAGACAAUUAUAUUAUUUGGAUAUGAAACGAUCCGUUUGAACCUUGUGAGUGCUUAGGAUACAAAUGACAUGUUAUUAGGGUUAUUACUGUUUUAGGUGCUAAUCUUAGGUGUCCUACAGAUGGUUGAGGUCCUGCAUUUGUUGUAGAUUCUCCACAACUCGUGUGAGCAGCAUCAUGUAGCUUAACAUCUUGACCCAUAGCUCGUGUGAGCAGGCCCAUUUCAUAGCUCAUGUGAGCAGGCCCAUUUCAUAGCUUGUGUGAGCAUUUACAGUUACAACUCGUGUGAGCAAUUAUCGUUAUAGCUCGUGUGAGCAUUUUCCCUCGUAUCCAAUGUUAUUUCACUGUGGUUCAUCGAGUAUAAAAUGAAAUAUGAAUGAGUUAUGUGAAAUGUUUAUAUGGAAAUAGAUUUAUGAAAUGGAUUCUUGAAUUGAAAAUGUAAGAUGUUGAAAGAAAAUAAGCUAAUUGAGUUAUAUAUACUAUUUAUGAAUGUUAUAUGGUAUGAUAUAGUAUAAGCUUCAUAUUUGUGAAUUCACUAAACUUGUGAGGUUUGUGGUGUGCAUAGGAAACAAAUGAGUUUAUGAGUUGUUUAAUGAAUUUUAUGUAUGAAAUGUUUAGUUGAAUCCUUUUCGGUAAGUUUGAGUUUACGUUAUAUACAAGCUUACUAAGCAUUGAUUGCUUAUUUCCAUUGUAUUUCAUUCUCUAUAGGUCAACGGAAGUCAAGGUAAGUUUGAAAUUCAAGUCAGAGCUCACACUAUCUGUUCUUUGACUUGGUAAAAGUUUAAUCAUUUUGGUUUGGUUAUAAAUGGCAUGUACUGGGAGCCUUUAAGUUCUUUUGCUUGUGAUGAAGUCGUUUAUAACUUUCGCUUAAGUAAGAUUUGUGGUUGUGUAUAUAUAUUUGGUAUUUUGGCUCAUGUAUAUCUAUAUAAGUGCUUUUGAUCAUUUGAUUUAUACAUCAUGAAAGCGGUUUGAGGUAUGGAAAAAUGGAUGUGAAUGAAAUGGAUGAAUUGGUAUGUUUGACAUGUUCAUAAGGUAGGAACUUGUGAUUAUUGAAUGUGAAUUUGGAUUGGUGUUUGUUUUGUGGUGCCAACGAGGGCAUAUUAGUUAGGCACUUAGGUUGAAUGUUUUGGUAUGUUUUAGGCAUAUUUGAAUGUGUGAAAAUGGUUGGAAAAGGUUUGGCUUGGUACCUAAGAAAUGGUUGAUGAUUUGGCUUGUCUUAGAAGUUAUUUUAGGUGCACACGGCCUGAGACACGGGCUGUCACACAGUCGGGUGCCACAUACAGUCACUCCUCACAGCCUUGUGACCUAUUUGAUUUUGGUGCAGGAUUUUCCACAUGGCAUCAGGUUGUCACACGGUUUUUCCACACGACCAUGUCUUUGAGUCACAAAUUUUGGGCUUUAUCACAUGACCGUGUGGCCUUUAUUUUUAGUUUUUUUUCCACAUUUUUCUAUUUUGUUUGAAAUUAGACCCUAAUUUUUUCAAACUGAUUUUAAGGCUAUGUAAGCUCGAUUUAAAGCUCGUAUUUGUAUAUAUGCUAUGGAUAAAAAUUGGUUAUGAAUAUUUGAUAUUUAAAUUAAAUUUUGAAUUAUUUUAGUUUAUUUUUUAAUUUAUUAACUAUCGUAAUGCUUUGUAACCCUAAUCCCCACAAUGACUCCACCCAUCGAAAAGACAAUGCACAUCUGUGACUACUUCAAAAAAAGAAUUAGAGGCGACAUGACAUGAUCCAGACACCUUCAAUGUAAGUUUGUGAAAAGGCUCAAUGUAAGUAACUCUUCAAAAAUUUUCCCAAUUAUCACAUGUGGGGACUCCAUCUCUAGCACCAAGGUUUAGAAAAAAAAAGUUAUGAUCAUCAUUAACAUAAGCUUCAAAAAAAAAAUCCAUAUUUUCAACUACAUUUAAUAUCAUAUAAGUUGAAUUCCAUCUAGUAGGCACAUUUAGACGUAAACGAGCCUAAGCACCUACUAUUUCUUCUUUUGCUUGACGGUUGAAUUUAGGCAACCUUAAUGGUGAUGCUCUAAUAUAUCUCAUAGCUCCUAUAACUUGACCCACAGAAAUAGAAGCAUCCUUAACCUUUUUUUGAACAAUAAGAUUAAGAAUGUGUGUCGCACAUCUCAUAUGUAUAUAUUUACCAUUCGCAACACAAGCUUUUCGAUGGACCAACUUCUUUCUCAAAUAAUCAAUAGAAGCAUUGUUAAAAGAUGCAUUAUCAACAGUAAUAUGAAAGACCUUCUCAAUCCCCUAAUCUCGAAUACAUUUCUCAAGGGAUUGACCAAUGCUCUUACCUUUAUGAGCAAAAAUUGGGCAAAAGUUUAUAAUUCUAUUUUGUAAUCUCCACUUAUCAUCUAUCCAGUGAGCUGUUCGAACCAUGUAGGAUAUACUUUGCAAUGAACCAUGAAUUAUUUAUGGAAUUAAACAAAGCAAGAUAGCUCUUUCUAAUUGUCCAAUUAGAUGAAAGAUGAAACCUUGGGCAUACCAUAGAAAUAAAAAAAUUAAAACCCUCCCCUUUUACAAUUUUAAAAAGGAAAUUCAUCCACAAUAAUCAAAUGAAUCAAUGCAUUUCUAAUAUCAUCUUGAUUAGACACCCAAGUUGACAAUAUACAUUUUAUUGGCUAGAUUUUGCAAAUGCAAGUUCUCCUUGCUUAAGAUCAGAGGUAUUACCUCAGGGUUUUCUUGAACAAGUCUUCAAAUGGUUAUUUAGAUUGGUGGUAGAAGCCUCGGUUUCCAUUAUGUAAGUGGCAUCGCAAUAAUUGCACUUUGCCCUAUUCUCCCCAUCUUUUGUUAAGUAUUUGCUGAAAUGUUGUCAACAAGGUACUUUUAGUUUGGUCUUUCUUUAAGUAGUUCCCGUCUUUUUUGUGCGAAUAACUUUAGUAGGAGAAGUAGGAGCAACUUCUUGUAAUGGUUUUUACUUUAAGUAUUUUACGAUAACAUUGAGUCAUUCAUCUACAAUAAUAAAUAUAAACAAUUAAAAUUGAAAAUAUAAAAUACAUAUUUUAUAUUAAUUGCAUAAGAAUAUAAUUUGUUCCGUAAGAAUUUCAUUCCGAAAAUCUAUAAGUCUGCAUCCACUAUAACCAUGUAACAAUCUAUUUCCAGUGAUGUUAGAAAUAGUGGUUUCAAGACCACAAUUUCGAUGAGUGAGUUAUUAUUUUAUUAUUUAUUUAGUGUCUACGGGAUUUUAUUAAGGUCGUAUUAAAUUUUCGUUAAGAAAUUUUGACGUUUGAAUUGUUAAUUAAGUAAAAAAAAACUAAAUCGUAAAAGGUGAAAAAGUUGGGUUCUAUUAGCUAAAGGGGUUAAAUGACUUUGGAAAUGAAAUGUAAUGGACUUGAAUGGUAAUUAUACCAUAUAUAUUGAUAGUGGAUGUACAUGGAUAGGUUUUAAUGUAAUUAUGGUAGUUUUUAAAGGUUAAAAUGAUAAUUAUACAAAUUAAACUUAAACUAAAUGAAAACAAAAAUUGCUUCAUCUUUCUCAUUUAACUUCACCACUGAAAUUUGAAGAAGGAAAUACCAUUUUUAAGGUUUGGAGCAUUCGGUUAAGCUUGUUGCUUGCAUGGUAUGUGAUUUCAGCCCUGUUUUUAAUGUUUUUUUUAUGUUUUUGAGUCUAUUUUAACUUAAUCUAGCUAGCCCGAGGGUCAAUUUGCAAAAUUGUUAAAGGUUGAGGGUUAUGUCAUGAAUUAUUUUGAAUGAUUUUUAUGUUAAUUGAUAGAUUAUGAAUCCUUGUUGAAAAAUAAACAAGUUUUGUUAAGUGAUUUUUGAUAAAUUUUGAAAUUUGGGAUUAAAUUGUUAAAUGUGUAAAUCAAUAGGUUUUAUUGUGAAAUGAUGGAAAAUAUGGAUUGUAUCAAGGUCUCUUUCAUCUAUGGUUAACAUGGAUUUAGGUUAAAAUGGUUAGAUUUUAAGUUAUAAGCUUAAAGACUAAAUUGUGAAAAGUCAAAAUGUUAGGGGAAAAUUGGUAAUUUUACAUAAAUAUGAAAUAUGGAUUAAAUUGAAUACUAGAAGUAUUUAAUUGAUUGAAAUUAUCUAUUUUGAUCAAAAUAAGCCACGUUCGGACUUAAAUCAAGGAAAAGCUAAAGCUUCGAACUAGUUUGAUUAAACUACUACGCUCUAAUUGUCGAGGUAAGUUCGUAAGAAUAGUAAUCGCUUAAAUUUGUUUUAAAUCGAAUUAUUAUUAUGUUAUUUUGAUGUUAUAUGGAAAUUUACAUAUCUUAUGGUUGAUUUAAAUUAUGUUAUGGAUAGAUAUACUAACUUGUGAGUUGGUGAUGUUGACUAUGAUUUGCUAAGCUUAUGGCAUUAGAGUUGAAUCAUGUUUAAUCUAUGUACUGUAUUAUUGAAAUGUUAAGUUAUGUUUAAGGUUUAUACGAGCUUACUAAGCACUCGUUGCUUACGUAGUUUCUUUUAUUUGUUUUAUAGAUCAUUAGAAGCUUAAUUUUAUUAGAAGCUCGUCAGAGAUCUAUCACAUUAUCCAACAGUUAAUUCUGUGGUUUUUGAGCAUUUUGGUCAAGGUUUGUAAUGGCAUGUAUAGGGUGUUUUGUAAUGGUAUUUUGAUGAAUGUGUUAAUGUUGUUUUGGCAUGUAUAAGUUUCAAAGUUAUGUUGGUUUGGUAUCAUUUGAUGCCUUGUCAAAUUAUGUCAUUUUGGUUACUUUAUUGUGCAUGUUAGAAGGCUCUUUAUGGUAUGUUUUGUAUGGUUUGGAAAUGAUUAUAAGUGGUAUGUUUUGGUAACUAGUUGGAAUAGGUUAUCAUGUGUGAAAUGGUACAAUAUUGACAUAUUUUGAUAGUUUGUGUUUUAGUAUAAUUUGGCGCCUUUGAAUGGAAUAUUGGUUAGUUGAAAUAGGAUCUUGAAAUGACAUUUUGAUGUGUGUUUUGGUGAUGUUUAGUCCCUUUUAAAGUGUUCAUGAAUGGGUUGCAAAGUUAUGCAUGGAAUGGUUUUGAAGUGGCUUGAUUUUAGGAAAUUUUAGGUUCACACGGCCUGAGAUACGGGUGUGUGACUCAGCCGUGUGAGUUACAUGGCCUGGCGACACGGUCGUGUGUCAUCUGGGGAUUUCUUAAGGUUCAAAUCAGUAAGUUACACGGCCUGAUAGACAGGCGUGUGGGACAAAUUAAAGAGUUACACGACCGUGUGACCCUACUUAGAGAGUUACACGGGAUGGGACACAGUUAUGUGUCCCUGGGUUAAAAGUUACACGGCCUAGGGCUAUGUCACACGGCCAUGUGACCCCUAUUUUGAAAUUUUUUAUAUAUUUUCCUUAAACUUUCAAAAUUGUUUCAAAUUAGCCCUGAAUUUCUUUUAAACUAUUUCUAGGGCCUCAAAGGCUUGAUUUAGGGGCAAACUACAUGUGAUUGGUUAGAUUAUGAUAUGUUUAAUUUAUUUGAAUAUUAUAAGGUUAAAAUUUUUUGAUUGUACAAUAAUGCUCCGUAACCUUAAUUCGACGACAAAAACGUGUUAGGGGUGUUACAAACCCCCCGCCCGAUGAAGCCUUAGUGUUCGGAUGCUAAUUAAGGAAAUACGACAGAUAAGAUAUGUUCUGAUCGUGUAUGGUAUUAGGAGUUUACGUAGAAUUAAAAUUUCUUGAGCACACUUGCGAUGCCUCAACGUUGUAGAACAUAAGGACUGGCACAUAGAUAAAAACAAAAUGUUUGAUGAAGUAGUAUUCGCCUAAAAGCCCUAUUGGCGUACAGAACGAGCGAACUAGAUGUAAACCAGAUUAGUUAUAAAGAAAAAGAAAAUACUCAAUUAAGUUUCUCGGGAGUUGAAGACCUUAAUAAGAUAAUUCAGUAAAAUGGUGACAUUUGUUAGGUUUCAAUAAGAUUUUAGGUAAUAUAAAAAAGAUAUGCUAGAUAGGAUGAGGAAAGCCUUUCUUCACUCUUCUAACAUUACUAUUUGGAGGGGCAGGAAAGGGGAUUUCUUCAUGUUAGGACUGAGAUCCUGGACGUCACCAAUGAUUUCUCCAUGACAAGGUAAGGUUUAUAAACCUCCCUGUUAAGAAAACAUAGAUCUGUAAAAGCACUUGGUGGAGAUAAGACCCAUACGGGUUUAUAAGUUGCAGAAAGGUUAGGGUUUAAUAGAUGAUUCUUAAUGACAUUAUUUCGUUCCAUUAAUGGUGGUUGCUGUGGUACCAAGUCGAUUGAUCGAACUAGAGUUUAAGCUGCUACUCGUAACCACCAGGUGAGCCUCUAGACUAACUCUUACAUAUAUGUUUGUAUUCUAGAUACUUCUGUGUCAUGUGGCCAGACAGUGAAACUUAAACUAACAAAGCAUGAUACUAUGCAUCUGAUAAGAAAAGAAGUAUAUGCAUGUAUAAUAUGUUUGAAAGCAUGAUUGAGUCUGUCAUGACCAAGUCACUGCAUGAAAGGUCUAUGCAUAAAGUUUAAGGGGUUGUGUUACAUGUUUGGAAGCAUGAAUGCAUCUGUCAUGAAGAAGUCUGAAAGUAAUAAGUCCGUCAAGUAUGAGUUUGCAUGAUGAGCAUGUGUCUGUCUUAUGAGUCGUCUAAAGGAGUCUGUCGGGACUGAAAACACAAAACUUAGGCCAAAGGGGUCCAUUGAUACUAAAAACAUGAAUAUUUGAUAAAGACAAUUCCAUGACCAUGACACACUAAAGAUUAUAUAGUGCAAGACCAUGGUUGGGCUAUGACACCAUAUGGAAUAUGUAAAUGACAAUUAGGUGAGUACCAGCGAUGAGGGGCAAACCUCAUAAUGGUGAGUAUAGGUGAAUCCUUAUCAUUAAAAACACCAAUUUCCAUAAAAGUGAGCCUUUGUGACUAUCUAUGUUAAAAUGAAUGCCUUUGUGGCAAUAUUUUGAAGGGAAAGCCUUUAUGGUGAGUACUAAAUGUUAAAGGAAUGUCUUUGUGGCAAUUUCUGUAAAUGGACGCCUUUGUGGCUAUCUCUGUUAAAAGGACACCUUUAUGACUAUCUUAGUUAAAGAAAUACUUUUAUGGGUAUCUCUGUUUAAUAGAAGCCUUUGUGGAAAUCUCUGUCAAAGGACGCCUUUAUGACAAGACUUUGAAAGGGAAGGAAUGCCUUUGUGGCAUAAUCUGAAGAACGGUUCUCGUGGUGACCAUUUGAAGAUAACAACUAUGAGCGGACUUAAAUGAAUGGAGAACACGGUAUUCAGAGCAUUAGCGAGUGCAAAUUAGCUCUGAAAGUAAUGCCAGUAUGGAAGGUUAUUGCGAAGUAUAUACAAUCGGUGGGGUCAAAGUUAUAAACGAGAAACAAAUGAUGAAAUCCUUGAAUAAGGGCUUAGGUAAAAGAAGGUUUCCUUACUAAGUUUUGUCGAACUUACCCCUCUGUGUUUUAUAUCUUAGGUAAAUGAGGCGCUAGGAGGGACGACGCUAGGGCUACACCAAAGGAGUAGCGAAAUGGGCACUUAUGCAUACAGAGUGAAGGUUACAUGGGUGUGUUCACGUAUGAUAGAAACGUUGGGAAAAAGUCUAGAAAAAAUUAUUUGUAGGCCAUAGAGAUCAUGUAGGUCAAUAAGUGAAGUCAACAAUAUUAUUAUUUAGAGGUUGAAUAAGAGAGACAGUAUGAAGAUAUCUACAAAAAAUACAAAGCUCUCUAGUUAAAAAAUACAAAGAUUCGAUAUCGAGAAGUUCGAUGGGAUCAAAAAUUCCAUUUUAUGGCAAGUUCGAAUAAUUGCAAUACUGGUUUAGAAUGGCCUGAAGAAGGUCGUUACAGGGCAAAAGCCUGCAGAUUCAGAUCAGUCGAAAUGUGAUGAGCUUGAUGUGAAGGCUCUGUCUGUAAUUCAGUUGUGCUUCACGAACAAUGUUUUGCAAGAGGUGUUUAUGUAGAAAACAACAUCUGGCUCAUGGAUAAAGUUAGAAAUCCUUUACAUGACAAAGUCUCUAGCUAAUCGAUUGGUGUUGAAACAACGUCUAUGCACAUUUUGUAUGGCCAAAUGUGCGUACCUUAGGGCUUACAUCAAUGAAUUAGUUACUCUCUUGAAUGAUCUAAAGAAUGUCGAGGUUAAUAUAGAUGAUAAAGAUCAGGAUAUGAUAUUAUUGUGCUCUUUGCCUUCUUCAUAUAAGUCUUUCAGGGAGACCUAGAUUUAUGGUAGACAAUUUAUCUCUACAAUGAGUUAGGUUCAAGUAGCAAGUCAAAUAGGCAAACCAAAGUUUUGGUUGUGAGAAACAGGACUAGAUCGAAAUCGAAGAAUCGAUUCAAUACAUGUGGCUACUGUAAGAAGUUAGGUCACAUUAAGGCAAAGUGUUAUAAGCUGCAAAAUAAGAAUAGGAGGGCUGCUGAGAGCAAUGAUAAAGAAAAAAAAGGCUAAGGUAGUCUAUGCUAGUGUGGUCGAGGACAAGGGUGAUGAUUGGUUGUCAGUGUCUAUGACCAACAUGUCUAAGCUUACUUUUGAGUGGAUCUUGGAUUAAGGGUGUUCUUACCAUGCGUCCCAACAAGGACUGGUUCUCCACAUAUAGUCCAGUUAAAGGUGGAGCUGUGCAGAUGAGGAAUAAUUCACCUUAUAAGAUAAUCAGUAUUGGUACCGUUCAAAUCAAGAUGUAUGAUGAGAUUAUCAAGACACUGUCAGGUGUCAAACAUGUGUCUGAUUUAUAAAAAAACCUCAUCUUCCUAGGUAUGUUAGACUCGAACGAUUGUAGAAUGGUCAUCAAAUCAAGCGGCAUUAAGGCAUCUCGUGAAACUCUCGUUUUGAUGAAAGAUCAGAAAACUGACAGUGUAUACAUUCUACAGGGUUCAACAGUGACUGGCACAAUAGCAAUUUCCUCGUUUACUAUAGAGUUAGAGUCAACUUGGUUAUGGCAUAUGCUACUUGGUCAUAUGAGUGAGAAAGGUAUGACCAUUUUGAAUAAGAGUCGUACAGUUUCUAAGUUUAAGCACCGCUUGGAUUUGUAGUAUCUUGCAAAAAUCAAAUUAGGCCUAUGAUGGGGCCCUACAAAGAAGGCAUAUCAAAAUACGAGUUAAGAUAGAGAUUUGUGGAGUGUGUGUCACAUUUUUUUUGUCAAACCAGAGUUAAAAGCAGGGGCGAUGUCACGACGAGAAAUCUUGUGAUGUCACAACGAUGCGACAACGUCUAAAAUAAAGCAAAACAAAGGCGAUGUCGUGACGAAUUCUAUCUCAAAGAAAAUGCGUAAUUAGACUUUCACCAGGGUUACUUUUCCCAGGUAACUCUGAUUAUUCCAGAGAUAUUUCAAUCAAAUUAGAACUCUAAUCUUAUCCUAUAAAAAGGACCUUAGUAACCCUAGAAUAAAUAUAUUCAUAACAUCAAGAUUAAGAGAGAGCUUUGAAGGGAUUUUUUGUUUUAGCCAGAGAGUUUUCUAUUUUGGGUUAGUUUUUUUUAUUAUAUUCAUCUUGUACUCUUCGAUUAUUUUCUCAUUUAGUGAAUUUUCAUUUGCCUACCAUUUUUUAUCCUCUUUAUUUGGAGGAUUUUUUUCCAUGUAAAUAUUUAGUUGUUUGAUAUUCUCUACUUUUCUUACUCGUCGUUUAUUCAGGUUUAUCCCUAACACUAUACUAUAUAAUGACAAGUCAUAACCAAAUAUAAGCUCUCUUAAUGACAGUAGUGUUGUCAAAAUUUUCAAGUUUGUGAUCCAACAAAAUUUUAAUUAUUAUUUUAAUUAGACUUUAAACAUAUAAUUUUAUAAAAAAAUUAACCAUUCAUUUAUUCUCUUCUUUUACUUCUUGAAUUUGUAUUGUUUAUCUAAUCACUUUAAAAUGAAUGAAAAAGUUAAUGUUUGUUAACUUUGUUGACUUGACAUCCACUUAUGUUGUAGUCCACAUAUAUGCAUCUAUUAGGAAUUAAUUAUUUUUUAAAAUUUUAAAAAAAUUAAAAAGUAUUUUAUAAUUUUUAAAAUUUUAAAAAACUAAUUAAUUAAUGACAUUACUACAAUCAUGUGUAUGCCAUGCCAGCAAAGUUAACUUUUCUAUUCAUUUGAGAUGAUUUGAAAAAUAAGAUUAAAGGCUAAAAGAGACAAAGAUUAAAUGGAAGGUUAAAAUAUUUUUUUUAUAAAGUUAAAGGGCUACAGAAGUAAUUAUACCUUUUAAUUAUAAUUGGACAUCAUCCACGUUACCAAUUCUCCACGACGGAGUGAAAUGAUAAAAAAACUUCCAUAAACAAUACACGAUCUAAAUUGAUUUAACAUUACAGUACCAUGAUUAAAGAAACACAGUACUCAUAUAGAAUCAUCAUCACCUGCCAUUUCACACAUUAUUAAUAAGGAUUAUAAUAUAGACAUAUCAUACUGCGCUUUAAAUAGCUUUGAUUCAACGCCCUGGAUCUCUCACUCAGCUUCAUCCACCUCUAAACAAUGAAAAAGAUUCAACACAACCACGUCCAAGCUAAAGGAUUGAAGCUUCAUGUGGCCCAGAUUGGAACUAGUUAGAAAUUUCUGUACGUAAUUUGACUAACUAAUAAUACUAGUGGCAAGAUAGUUUUAACAAUGAUGGGAGGUGUGGGCGUGCAGGUUCUAAGGUGGUGGUAUUCUUGCAUGGAUUCCCGAAAAUUUGGUAUUCUUGGAGACACCAGACAAUUGUUGUGGCUAAUACUGGCUACCGAGCUAUUUCCAUUGAUUUUAGGGGCUAUCGACUCUCAUAGCAUCCAUCAGAACCAGAGAAGGCAACCUUUAAUGACUUUGUUAAUGAUGUCGUUGCCUUUCUCGACUCUUGGGUAUCAAUAAGGUACCAUUAGUGACUUUGAUGUGUUUACGAGCUAAGAUCAACACAUACGUUUAAUAUUUUUAUACUGCUGAAACCAAGCACAUCUUGUUGCCAAGGAUUUCGGGGCCUUCGUAGCAGCUAUGUUAAUGAAUGAAAAAGUGUUAUGACAGUUAUUAGUUAGAGCUUGGUAGUUAAGGUGGUUAUGGUUUCUGUUGAUAGGUUGUGUUAUAAAUACUAUGUUUUGGUACUUUGUUUAAUAUAAUAAAAUUCAAUCUUUCCUAUCCACUCAAAUCCGUUAUAUGUUUCUCAAUAUGGUAUCUAAGCCUUAGUUUUUUUUUAAGAGUCUUUUUUGUGUUUCUUCCAUGGUGACAGAAGUUGUUUCUGGUAAUGAUGACAAGAAUCAUCCGUCAAUCAACACAGCUACACCUGAAGCUGGUUCUUCUCCCGAUCCUAGUUGUGAUUCUUUGAGAAAGAUUCAAUAAUUUCCUACGCAUGAUACUAUGAAACUAGGUAAGCAUAACUUUCUUUUAUGGAAAUAACAGGUUAUGUUAAUUCUUGAGGGGUAUGGGUUGCAUGAAUUUGUUCUUGGAACUAUUAGUGUUCCUCUACAGUCUGUUGUUAACAGAGAUGGUAAACUUGUUGCUAAGCCCUAUUUCUUGUUUCAUAAGCAACAAGAUAAGUUGUUAGCUUCUUGGUUAUUAUCCACCAUUUUUGAUGAUAUCUUGGUGCAUCUCACUGGUGCUCGAUCAAGUUUUGAUGUGUGGAAUAUAGUUGUCCUGCAGUUUGCUACUAAAUCUACUAUGACAGUUUCUACUCUGACGCAUUCUUUGUAUUCUUAAAAAAAAGGGCAAUCAACCAUUAAAGAAUACUUGGCCAAAAUUAAAGGUUUGUGUGAUACCUUAAUGGCUGCAGGCAAUGCUAUUUUUGAGGAGGAACAAAUUAGUAUCAUUCUUGCUGGUCUGUUAGCGGAGUAUAAGUCAAUUCGAGUUGUGGUUUCAGCAAUGUGUGUUCCACUUGAUCUUCUUGCUGAGAUGCUUACUGAUUGUGAAGCUCGACAACAAGAUUUUGUUUCUAGUAUGCCUUUACUCGCUAAUAUUGAUAAGCAAAGUGGUAUUGAUUUACAGGCUAAUAUUGAUCAGCAAAGUGGUAUUGAUGAUACAAGCACUGGGCAGUUCGACAGAGGUUCUAAACCACCCUACAGGGGUGGUGGUUCUAGGACAUUUCGAGGCAGAGGCCGAGGAAGAAGGUUUGUCCAUAACAAACCUCAAUUCCAGCUGUGUGGUAGGACUGGUCACACUGUACAGAAGUGUUACUAUCGAUUUGAUGAGUCCUUUGAAAGGGUUUCUAAUCAGAUAGUGCAUGUGCAUUGUCAUCAGUUUCAAGAUUCUUCAAAUUCAUUGUGUGGAGGUUCUCAUUUUUGUUCCCAAAAAAAUACUGUGCAAAGUUCUGGUUUUCAAACUAAUGCUGUCUCCAUAAAAGGGCAGUUUCCCACAAGCUCCUUGAACACAAAAGUAUGGUAUCCGGACUCGAAAGCAUCCAACCAUGUUACAAUGACCUGGAUAAUUUGCAGAAGGUAGCACAAUAUAUAGGUAACAACAAGCUUUUCAUGGGAAAUGGUGUGUCUGUACCAGUGGCUCAUGUUGGCUCCUCAUCCUUUACAAGUACAAGCAGAGUUUUUCAUUUGAAAAAUGUGUUGCAUGUUCCAUGAAUCUGCAAAAACUUAAUGUCUGUUGUACAAUUUGCUAAAGAUAAUCAAGUUUAUUUUGAAUUUAAUCAUUUCCAUUGCUUUGUGAAGGAUACCAAGACAGGGAAAAUCUUGUUGGUGAGUCGCAUUCAUGACGGUUUGUACCAGUUUGAUCUAUUAGGCACUCAAAGUUUCACAACUUUUUCUUCUCCAGCCACUGCUCACACUACUCAUCUAGGGUCUCUUAUUUUUAGUGGUUCAGUUUUUUAUUUGUGGCACAAACGUCUUGGUCACCCUUGUAAUAAAACUGUCACUAUAGUUCUUCAAAAGUGUAAUAUUGUUUCAAAGAGUUGUAAGUUGAAUUCAGUUUGUUCAGCAUGUCAACUUGGAAAGUUUCAUAAACUUUUAUUUUCUACCUCUACUACUGUUUGUUUAGCUCUUUUUGACAUAAUUGUUUAUGAUCUGUGGGAACCUACUUCUGUGGCAUCUGAAGGCAAUUUUUAUUAUGUCUCCUUUGUUGAGGCAUAUUCUAGAUAUUCUUGGAUGUAUAUUAUAAAGCGCAAGUCUGAGGCCUUAGACAAAUUUCUUCAUCUACAAAAAUUUAUUGAAGUUUAGUUUGGAUGUCAAAUAAAGGUUCUUCAAAUUGAUUGAGGUGGAGAAUUUUGUUCUUUUCCAAAGGUACUCUCUCAGCUGGUGAUUCAUCAUCGGCUUUCUUAUCCUUAUACCUCCAAAAAAAUAGCUUGGUGGAGAGGAAACACAGGCAUAUAGUUGAUACUGGUCUGAUAUUGUUGGCUUAGGCUAGUGUGCCUAUGCAUCUUUAGGCUUAUGCUUUUAUCAGUGUUGUUUAUCUCAUCAAUAGACUUCCCACACCUGUUCUCAAUGGCAAGUCACCCUAUAAGGUGUUACAUAAAACUGUACCUAACUACAUGCAUUUAAAGAUGUUUGGCUGUAGGUGUUAUCCAUAUCUCAAACCCUUUAAUACUCAUAAGUUACAAUAUCGUUUCAGGUCUUGUGUGUUCUUCGGCUAUAGACCUGUUCACAAAGGAUACAAAUGUCUUGAUGAUACUAGUAAGAUCUUUGUCUCUAGGCAUUUGGUGUUUGAUGAAGAAUGUUUUCCUUUUGCUAGCUUUACUAGCUCAGGCAGUGGUUUCGCCACUUCUUGGACUCAGCCAAAGUUUCAAUAUCAGCAGUCUCAGGUUCCAGUUGUGGUAUUUUCUUUGGACCAAUCUGGAUUUGGUGCUCCAAAUGUGCCUGGUACUUCAGCUCAGUUGAAUUUAGGAGCUAUGUUAGAGUCUGCUACUCCACCUUCUAGUCAUCUUCUUUUGGAGUCCACUGAUUUAAGAUUGAGGCAAGACGAUAGCAUCUCGCCAGGAAAUGAAGCUAGCAAUAGUAGUUCUGCUCAUACUCCAAUUCCAUCUCAUUAUGAUGUAAAUCCUCUAAUGAAUUCAAGUUUGGAUUCUGCUGGUAGUCUAGUUGUUAGGGAACUUCAGGAUCCUGUAUCAGUUUUACCUAUCAACUCUCAUCCUAUGCAAACCAGAUCCAAAAAUAACAUCUUUAAGCCCAAGGUGUUCUCAGCUGAGUUGAGUGAGACUGAGCCUGUCACAAUUGAGGAAGCAUUUUCUAGUAAAGAGUGGACACUAGUAGCUCAGCAAGAGUAUGGUGCUCUGUUGAAAAAUAAGACAUGGGACUUAGUUCCUUUACCUGCAAACAGAAGAGCUAUAGGCUGCAAGUGGAUGUUCAAACUCAAACGCUGCUCAAAUGGCACUAUUGCUCGUUACAAGGGUCGCUUGGUAGUUAAGGGAUAUCUUCAGGAAGAAGGUAUUUAUUUUCAAGAAACUUUUAGCCCAGUUAUGAAACCAACAACAAUUCGAGUUGUUUUGACGUUGGCUGUAAAGUUUGGAUGGUAGUUAAGGCAAGUGGAUAUCAACAAUGUGUUUUUCAAUGGUGACUUGUCAGAAGAAAUUUAUAUGGUUCAACCUCCUAGUUUUGUGCAGAAGCAUGGUGAACGACCGUUGGUGAGUAGAAUGAAGAAAGCACUGUAUGGUCUUACAUAGGCUCCCAAAGCCUGGUUCUCCAAGCUACAAGAUUUCUUGCUCACUUCACAGUUUGUUUUGGCUAAGUUAGAUGGUUCUCUCUUUGUAAGAAAUGCUGAGGGGGUGAUUUUGUAUGUACUAGUGUAUGUGGAUGACAUGAUUGUCUCUGGAAAUCAUCAAGGUAGCAUAAAUAGCUUUGUUUCAACCUUGGAUACCUAGUUUUCCUUAAAAGAUUUGGGGCCUCUAAGUUACUUCCUUGGUAUUGAAGUAACUCCCACCACUGAUUGGUUGUUUUUAAGUCAGCGCAAAUAUGUUCUUGAUCUUCUAAAAAAAGCUUGAAUGGAUCAGGCAAAUGGAUCUCCUACACCCAUGGUCACUUUACCAAACUUAUCUCAGCAUGUUGGCAGUGCAAUUGAGAAUGAAUCCGAGUAUAGAAGCAUUGUAGGUGCUCUGCAGUAUGUGGUCAUCACCAGACCUAAAAUUACUUUUGUUGUCAAUAAAGUUUGUCAAUUUAUGCAUCGGCCUCUUGACCAGCACUUCAAGGCUGUAAAACGCAUUCUCAGGUAUCUUCAAAGCACUGUGGACUAUGGUAUUCAUUUUACUGCAGCUGUCAACUUGGAUUUGGUUGGUUAUUCAGAUGUAAAUUGGGGGACUGAUGUGGAUGAUAGGAGGUCCACUACAAGGUUUUGUGUGUUCCUUAGGGGUAAUCCUGUAGCCUGGGGAUCGAAGAAGCAACAGACUGUUUCCAGGUUAACAGCAGAAGCUGAGUAUAGAGGGCUAGCUCACACUGUUACAGAAGUGAUUUGGCUUAAGUCUCUCUUGUCUGAACUGCAUGUUUCUACCUCAAGAAAGGCCGUAGUGUAGUGUGAUAACUCAAGAGCUGUUGCUGUAUCUGCAAAUCCAGUAUUGCACUCAAAGUUUAAACAUGUUGAGUUAGAUCUGUUCUUUGUUAGAGAGAAGAUUGCUACUGGAAAACUAAGUGUGGGUCAUAUUCUAGCACAGGAACAAGUAGCAGAUGUCUUUACCAAACCUUUGUCAGCUCCUUUAUUUGCAAAAUUUAAAUCAUAUCUUAAAUUGGUUGCAAAGUUUGAACAAACGGCAGAUAUUAGGAAGAUGGAGGCAUGUUAAGGAAUGAAAAACUGUUAUGGCAGUUAGUAGUUAGAGCUUGGUAGUUAAGGUGGUUAUGGUUUCUGUUGAUAGAUUGUGUUAUAAAUACUAUGUUUUGGUACUUUAUUUCAUAUAAUAAAAUUCAAUCUUUCCUAUCCAGUCAAAUCCCUUAUAUGUUUCUCAAUAAGCCAUGGUGGGCAAACUUCACCCUGACAGAGUGUCCACCAUCAUUUUACUAAGCGUUCCUUUCCUACUACCAGGUCUCUCUACACUCCAGGCUCAACUUCCUCUCAUUCCACCUGGCUUUUAUAUGCUAAGAUGGAUGGUAAGUAAUUUCAUUUCAUUUACUAUUAUCUUUUUCCAUGCCAUCUCUCAUUUCCAUCAUGUUGCAUUGUAAAUUCCCUACAGGUGCCAGGAAGAGCUGAAGCAGAUUUUGGCCGCUUCGACACAAAGAUUGUCAUACGCAAGGUUUAUACUAUGUUCUCUAGAAGUUUACCCUAGGUUGCUGUUGAUGACCAAGAGAUCUUGGAUUUGGUUGACUCAUUUGCACCUCUCCCACCAUGGUUGAGCGAGGAGGAUCUUGCAGAGUAUGGUUCUUUAUACGAGAAAAGCGGAUUUCGUACUACACUGCAAGUUCCAUACAGGUGAAGCAUGAUUGAUUAUAUUCUAAUAAGUCAAACUAAUCCUAUGCUAUAGCUAGUUUAUUUUGUUCAAAUAUGUAUUUUAUACGUAUAUAUAUCUCUUACGUGCAAGACUAUGAUGCAGUCCUGUAGGCUGGAUGAUGGGAAAAUCAGAGCUCCAGGACUUCUGAUCAUGGGAGAGUAGGACUAUAUUAUGAAAUUCCCAGAGCUGGAAGACUAUAUCAGGACUGGCAAAGUAAAGGAGUUUGCGCCCAAUUUGGAUGUCACAUUUUUGGCACAAGGUAACCAUUUCGUCCAAGAACAACUUCCUGGGGAGGUGAAUCAUUUCAUUAUCUCAUUCCUUAACAAACAUUGCAAAUAGAGCAAAUCCAUGGCUUAGCUUCUGCUUCGUCUCCUUCCGCUGAAUAAAAGGACCUUGUGCCAUUUAAAUAAGAAUAAUAUUACCUCAAAAUGGUCAAA